Molecule: long non-coding RNA, 81519 nt
Filed under: Triticum aestivum (bread wheat)
Lineage: Eukaryota; Viridiplantae; Streptophyta; Magnoliopsida; Poales; Poaceae
Description: long non-coding RNA (TAES_LNC012865)
Source: RNAcentral
UUUCUCAAGGAAACUGGAUUGGCCGAUCGCGACUGGAGCUUCUAUAAUGUGGUCACGAGGACCGAGAAGGAUUUCGUGGACAAGUACAUAUGCCCUCACAAGGAAGCUGCGCCACACCUUGCCGAAGACUAUGCAACCGCUUGCAAAGGGCAGGUGCCAACUAACUUCAGAUUUUUACUUCAACCAAAAGUGGGCUGAGGAAAUUGGCUACUAUGUAUUGCGCAGCAAAGUUUUCACUCGGCAUAGUAAGUUGGUAGUUCCUGUUUUGGUGUUCUUUGCCAAACUAGAUGUUUUUUUUUAAUUUUCUGUAGUAUGCCUGUUACAUGCCGGUUUGGUCAUUGCUAAAUGCUAACUCCUAUGAAACUGAUAAUUUAAUUACUGAACCGUGAUAUGUUGAUGUUGUCAUCCCUUACAGAAGAUCUUUGUGUUUUCCUGAUAAUUUUAUUCCUGAAGCCUACAGUCUAAUUAUAUAUUUUCCUAAAUCAUGGUUGAGCGAAAUAUGUGUUGCUAGUUCCAUUCUAUCAUGUGUUCAGAUUUUAAGAGUGAUCUGGGAAGUAGGAUUUGCCGGCACCUAUCAUGUCCACCUUCAGAUACGUGGACAUGGACCAAUGCAGCCUGCCAAGAUGGUGCUCUGUGAGAUCAAACUUCUUCCACCAAGAAGGGCAUUUGGCCUCAAACUCUGCUCGCUUUUUUUUUUUUGAGAAUUACUCCUCAAUUUAUCUGAUAGGCAUCCUUUUGUUAGUAAGAAAUCGAUCUAUUUUAAUGUGAUUUAGAUAUGCUUCUUAGAGUCAUUGGUUGAUUUUGUUACUGAAAUCUGCACUUACUUCUCUUUGUGUCAUUGCUUCAUUCCAUCCAGUAGUUUGUAAACCACUGGAACAAUAUCAUGAAAAUAUUUUUGUGUUCUGGAAAGUGGAGUUUGCCGGCAUUCCUCCUUCAGAUACGUGGGCAUGAACCAACGCAGCCUGCCAAGAUGGUGCUCAGUGAGAUCAAACUCCUUACACACAAGAGCAUGUGGCAUAAACUCUGCUUGCUCUUAUUCUUUUUUGAGAAUUACUCCUCAAUUUAUCUGCUAGAUAUUCUUUUGUUAGUAAGAAACCCAUCUAUUUUAAUGCGAUUUAGAUAUGCUUCUUCUGGUCAUUGGUUGAUUUCGUUACUGAAAUCUGUACAUGCUUUCUUUGUAUCAUUGCUUCAUGUCAUUAAUUCAAUUCAUGCCUUACAGUUAGUUGUUCAUAGCUGCAGAACUGUAGGGAGUUCCAUCCAAUGGUUUGUAAACUACUGGAACAGUAUCAUGUGAAAAAAUUAGUUUCCUGGUUCUAUUUUGCCUCUCCUUUAUGUGGUCCUAUUUUUUCUUGUUUACGGAUUCUUUGUUAGUGCUCCUUCGCAUUGCAAUCUUGUGCGUCAGAUUGCUGCUGUUUGUGAUCUGGUAACUGAUUCCCAUCAUGUUGCUUAAUUUGCCCUGGUAUUUUUUGUUGUUUCCAUACAGGUUAGUUGGGAGUACAUACUUAUACAAAUGAAAAUACCUUUUAAAUUUGCUUCCAUGGGAAAGUCAUUGCUGAAGUAAUCGUCACAAGAGAUUUGAAGAUCAUAGUUUUUUUAUUUGCAAGAUCUUGCUUAGAUGUGGACCUGGAGAUAGAUAUCCUUGGGCAUGAACUUCGAGAGUGCCUUAACUUAAUACACAGGAUUUAGUGAGUUCAAUGAUCUUACUUUUCAUCUCAAUUUUAAUCGGCGGUGUCGAUAUUUGAAGAUAGGCUUGAGCGUAAUCAAAUGGUAGUGGGGCUCGGUGAUCCUUUAUAUACCAUGCAUAUUUCUCAAUUUGGUGCAACUCGUACACAAAAAUAUGACACAUUCUCUAUAAGUUAUUAAUAGUGAUUUUUUGGGGGGUUCCGUGACUUGAUUCCUAUUUAGAUUCCAGCCUCCUUGCAUGCUAGAGCAAUAACACGGUUUCUGAUGUUCAAUUCGAACUUCCUGAAUUUUUAGGACACUAUUGUCCAUAUUGUUCAACUGUAAUGCCUAAGAUGCACUGUCUUGAAGUUGCGUGGUCAAUGGCUGCUGUUGAUAUAUUUUUAUUGCUUAAUAACCCCAGAAUGUAGAUACGCUGUUCUGAUUUUUUUAUAAUUUCAGCUGCUGUUUAUAUCCCUGAGAUCGUUACCUGCUCAUAAGCUGCAGGCACUGAUUGCCAUCUUCAUACUGGAUCUGUUGAGUUGGGAGCUAUGUACCAGUUAUGUCUGAUUAACCAUGUGUUCUGCUGUAAUCAUCCAAUAUUUUUGCUCGGCUACCUUGCCUUAGGUUUCCACUGCAGCAGCGACCAUCAGACCUCGCUGGCAGGGAAUUUCCAUGCGUUAUGGUUUUGGUCCCGAAAGUUUCUUAAAUUGUUGCUACUUUGACACUGUCUGUUUCAUGCAUUGCUAUUCUGAACUUUAUUAUGAUGUCAGUUCAAUAUUCUAUUUGUAAAUGUGAUGCUGUUUCUGACCAUGGCCAAAGCAUCUAGUCUGUGUUAAUUUGCUAAGGAGGUGUAGUAUAUUCAAGGGUGCAGUAUAUUCAGGGGUGCUACAAAGUUCCAAACUUAAAUGCAACAACACCCAGCAUCAAAACAUUCAGUACUUCAACAAAUUCAGCUUAAUUAGUGUCGCACACACAUUUAUAAACUCUUACACAGACCGAGGUAUGCAGUAUCCAUUGAUAAACAAAACUCCAGAAACUAAAUAAACAGGGGAAAUAAUGUAGUGAUAAUAAAUACAGAAGCGAAAUGAUACUGAUGAAAAAAAGAAUUAAGUCAGAAAUCAAUCAAGUUACAAACUGCAUUGUAACGGAAGGUUGUCUUGGGUGCAGCAGGGCGGCUGCGCUCUUGAAGGCAGACUCAACAUCAGCAAGCACCUGUUGAAUUUUUUUCCUGGACUCGCUGUUGCCGUUGAUGAGACACACGCGGAUGUCCUGGAGGCACGGCAAACAUUCCAUGCCGGCUGGUGUAGCGCCUCUCCACUCCGUGCAGCCGAAUUCCACCAACGUACCUUGGGCAUAGCUCCUGCCUCGAAGCUCAGGCAUCUGUUUUGACCUUUAUAUUAGAGGCAUGGAAGAUGUAUGUUCAGGAGUACUUUACAUAACUACUGAAAGGUUUAGAACCUUAGAGGGCAGCACCUUUGAACAGCAGAGUUUUGCUAUCUGUGCGGUCUUAUUUAGAUGUGGAGAUAGAUAACCUUGGACACGAAACUGGAGAGUUUCCUUAACGUAAGUAUACAUAAUUUGCCGAGUUCUACUUCCAUACCUUUUAUCUAAAUUUUAAUUGGUGUUGUCAAUAUUUGAAGCCAAGCUUGCUCAAAUGGUAGCGAUGUCCUAGUGAUCCUCUACAUACCAUGCAUACUAAUUAGUGGGGAUAUGCACAUGUACUUUGGCGGGUUGGUCGCCUCUUCCACUAUCUAUGCCUCUUGUCCCAUGCGGGCGACACCCGUCCGUGGUCCUAACGCUGUUACUGACUGACGAAAGAACCUGAAGAUGUGGCUGCGGCCUGCAGAUUCUCUACUUGAGGAGGCAGGUUUUGUGUGCCCAAGCUGAAAUUCCAAAUAGCGCAGACCCCAGGAGCUAGUGUGUAAGCAGUUGUGUGUUGUACUUGAACCUUUUGCUGUUCUGCAGAGAAUUUGAUGAUCCUGGUAAAGACAAUUUGUCUGGUAUUAACCUGGUCACCGCCGAUCCCUUUUGUUGGAACUUCCAUUACUGUGACACUGCUGAAGCCUUUAGCCCUAGUAACCUUGUCACAUGGUGCUGAAGUGGCACCUUCAUUAGACUGGAUUUCAAAGCACCCCAGAACCGGGAAUAAUCUUGUGCUGCCAACCAUGACCUUGCCUUGGACAUCUGACAAGCAUCGACGAGGGAGAGAGAAAGAAUCUCUCCCCCCAAGAAUACGAAACUAAUAACUCGAUAGGUGCAAGGCGCGCAAGAGAGGAUCCGGAGGCAAUGUAGCUCAGGAACCCAUUUACUGAAUCCCCAUAUUGGAAGAUGGGGUACCUGAUGGGAAGGAGGGUCAGGUAAUGAGUCCAGCCGAUUGUCAUGCCCACUAAAGGCUAGGUUGGUUCAUGCCCUGGGCACUAUGCCUGGGACGAAGCACAGCCUGAAAAUAGCCUCGGAAACUGCCUGGCUAGGCACGCAUUGGAGGAUGGUGUUUGGUUCCUGAACUUAGCCUGGAGAAAGUUUUACCUAGGAAGAUGUGCUAGACCCUAACAGAAGUAUAGCUAACAUCAUGAUUUGAUCCAGGAUCAUGGAGCAGAUACAGAACCGACCAUGCAUUGGCACCAUAAUAGUACGUUCAAAAGUGUAUAUACACAAUACAUACAUAUACUAUUAAAGCAUAGGCAGGAUUUAUUAGGGACGAACAUUUCCAGACUCUACGUCUGGAUCAUUCGUCAAAGGGCCUGCUGAGUGUUGACCGGCAUAUUCAUUCAUACAUAAAACUGGGAGUAUCAGGUUUACAGUACUCAAGAAAUUAAACAUAUAUACAUACAAUGGAAAACGCAAUAUUUAUAAUAAAAUAAACCAAACAGCAAAGUGAUUAUGCAUGCCUACUAAACUGUAACAGAGGGAUGUCUUGGGUGCGCACUUGCGGCAUUCUUGAAGCCUGCCUUGAUGUUAGCGCGCACAUGCUGGUGCAGAUUUUUGUCCGACUCAACACGGGAGAAUUAAUGUGAGGCGCACACGGAUGUCCUGGAGGCAGGGCAGGCACUCCAUGCCGAAUGGUGUACCGCCUCUCCACUCUUGCCAUCCAAAUGCCACGCUGAGCGUUCGUAGCUUGGGCAUAGCUCCAGCCUCGAAGCUCAGGUAUGCAGUCACAUCUUCAUCAGAACGGAAAAAGAAGUACUCUAAAACAGGGAAUAACCCUGUGCCGACCACGACCUUGUCUUGGGAGAGCUCUGACACGCGGAUGGUGGCAUCAACAAGGGAGGGAAGGUCUCCAAGAACACGAACCUCGUCACUCGACAUGUGCAAGACGUGCAGAGAGACGACCCGGAGGCAACAUAGUUCACCAAUCCAUCUGGGAGCUCGACUGAGCUCCCAUGUUGCUAGAUCAAGCACCUCGAGACGAGGAGGAUCGACUAGUGAGUUCAGCCGGCUGCCAUAGUCAUCUAAUUUACCCCAACACACGAGGGAGAGGUGUUUGAGAUCUCUGAGCAUUUGAAUGGAGGAAACCAAAGCAUUGACGUGUUCAACCGUCAAGCACUGCUCGUAAGGUGUGCAUAACAUCAAUUCCUUCAGAUUGGUUAGCUCACUAAGGCCUUUGAUAUCUUCUAGUGAAUUCUUCAACAUGCCAGUGUAAUGCAAGGUGCGGAUUGAUUUCAUGUUUUGGAUCCCUUCAGGUAGCAUUGCACCAUACGGAAGUUUCAAGUGAAACAAGUUGGCCAAGCGAGUUGUAUCGGAUGGAAAGCUUUGCACUGACCGACAUGAUAACUCCAAACUUUCCAAAUGCACAAGCCCUCGAAUUUCAGUAGGGAGUGCUACAUCUGCUAAUCUGGCUAAGACCUUCAAAUACCUAAGCAGAAAUAAAUGGCCAAUUGCAGUUAGGUCGACUAUCAUGUCCCAUCCAUCUGGAAACUCAAAGAAUAGAACCCGUAGAUACUUAAACUGUGAAAGGUGAGGUAUGUACUUGGACUCUCCGAACCGUGCAUAUGAUCUAACUUGUGACAUGCUAGUAGCAAGGGUCUCCGAUGUUGCACCACCAACACCGGACUUCAGGGAUAACCGAUGAACCUUGUACUCGCAACUUUGUAAUCUUGCCAUGUCUUCAUAGUUAUAUGCCACACUGAUGAAAUUGUUUUCUUUAUUCUUGCUUAUGAUCAAAUCAACCAUCAUGUUGUGUACUCUGCAAGAAACCACAUCCCCAUAGCAUAUUUCUUCAGGUUGAAUCAGACUUCUAUUGAUAAGCUCAUCAAAAUAACUUUUGGCAACGUCUUCCAAAUCUACUCCGUGCAAAUUACAAACAAAGCCUUCGCCUAUUCAUUGGCAAACCAGGUCAUCCUUUCUGAUCACACAGUCUUCUGGAUACAUGCCAAGGUACAAAAAGCAUGGCCAGAGAUGAACGGGAAGAUGCAUGUAGCUAAGGUUUAGUAUAUACUCCUCAUCUCUUCCAUGGUGGGUUCUGUGGCAAACUUGCUACCAAGAGAAGUCUUUAUGCUCCCCUAUUUAGUCAGUGAUCUUGCUUCAUGCCUAGCUAUGGUGAUAAUUGCAAGCGGCACUCCACCACAUUUCUUGAGAAUGUCACCUGAAUUUCCUUGAAACUGUGGUGGGUAGACAAUUUCAUACCCAAAUACUCUAUCAAAAAUAAUCUUCUCGAAUCUUGCUCUUCGAGGUGCUUCAUUCUCAUGUACGAUCAUUGCGACAUGCCCUCACAGCUAUGCCAUCCAAUCGUGUGGUUACCAUUACCCUACUUCCAUUACUGUUUUCCGGAAAGGCGCAACUAAUAAUAUUACAUGUUGGUUGAUCCCAGAAGUCAUCAACUACAAUAAAGUACCUAUUGCGAUUUUGCGCAAGUUAGUACAUGGUCAUAAGUGUUGGUAAUCGUAGCAGAAUUUAAAUUUUUUCCUACGCAUCACCAAGAUCCAUCUAUGAAGUAUACUAGCAACGAGGGGAAAAGAGUGCAUCUACAUACCCUUGUAGAUCGCGAGUGGAAGCGUUCCAAUGAACGGGGUUGAUGGAGUCGUCCUCGCCGUGAUCCAAAUCACCGAUGACCGAGUGCCGAACGGACGGCACCUCCGCGUUCAACACACGUACGGAGCAGCGACGUCUCCUCCUUCUUGAUCCAGCAAGGGGGAAGGAGAGGUUGAUGGAGAUCCAGCAGCACGACGGCGUGGUGGUGGAAGUAGCGGGAUCCCGGCAGGGCUUCGCCAAGCGCAAACGGGACGGAGAGGUGUUGCAGGGGGAGAGGGAGGCGCCAGGGGCUGUGGUGCUGCUGCCCUCCCUCCCCCCCACUAUAUAUAGGCUCCCUGGGGGGGGCGCCGGCCCUGGGAGAUCAGAUCUCCAAGGGGGGGGGGCGGCCAAGGGGGAAGGGGGGGUGGCUUCCCCCCCAAGCCAAGUGGGGCGCCCCCCACCACCAGGGUUUCCAACCCUAGGCGCAGGGGGAGGCCCAAGGGGGGCGCCCCAGCCCACUAAGGGCUGGUUCCCUUCCCACUUCAGCCCAUGGGGCCCUCCGGGAUAGGUGGCCCCACCCGGUGGACCCCCGGGACCCUUCCGGUGGUCCCGGUACAAUACCGAUAACCCCCGAAACCUUCCCGGUGGCCGAAACUGGACUUCCUAUAUAUAAUUCUUCACCUCCGGACUAUUCCGGAACUCCUCGUGACGUCCGGGAUCUCAUCCGGGACUCCGAACAACUUUCGGGUUUCUGCAUACUAAUAUCUCUACAACCCUAGCGUCACCGAACCUUAAGUGUGUAGACCCUACGGGUUCGGGAGACAUGCAGACAUGACCGAGACGCCUCUCCGGUCAAUAACCAACAGCGGGAUCUGGAUACCCAUGUUGGCUCCCACAUGUUCCACGAUGAUCUCAUCGGAUGAACCACGAUGUCGAGGAUUCAAUCAAUCCCGUAUACAAUUCCCUUUGUCAAUCGGUACGUUACUUGCCCGAGAUUCAAUCGUCGGUAUCCCAAUACCUUGUUCAAUAUCGUUACCGGCAAGUCACUUUACUCGUACCGUAAUGCAUGAUCCCGUGGCUAACUCCUUAGUCACAUUGAGCUCAUUAUGAUGAUGCAUUACCGAGUGGGCCCAGAGAUACCUCUCCGUCAUACGGAGUGGCAAAUCCCAGUCUCGAUCCGUGUCAACCCAACAGACACUUUCAGAGAUACCCGUAGUGUACCUUUAUAGUCACACAGUUACGUUGUGACGUUGGGUACACCCAAAGCACUCCUACGGCAUCCGGGAGUUACACGAUCUCAUGGUCUAAGGAAAAGAUACUUGACAUUGGAAAAGCUCUAGCAAACGAACUACACGAUCUUUAGUGCUAUGCUUAGGAUUGGGUCUUGUCCAUCACAUCAUUCUCCUAAUGAUGUGAUCCCGUUAUCAAUGACAUCCAAUGUCCAUAGUCAGGAAACCAUGACUAUCUGUUGAUCAACGAGCUAGUCAACUAGAGGCUUACUAGGGACACGUUGUGGUCUAUGUAUUCACACAUGUAUUACGAUUUCCGGAUAACACAAUUAUAGCAUGAACAAUAGACAAUUAUCAUGAACAAAGAAAUAUAAUAAUAACCAUUUUAUUAUUGCCUCUAGGGCAUAUUUCCAACAGUCUCCCAGUUGCACUAGAGUCAAUAAUCUAGUUACAUUGUGAUGAAUCGAACACCCAUAGCGUUCUGGUGUUGAUCAUGUUUUGCUCUAGGGAGAGGUUUAGUCAACGGAUCUGCUACAUUCAGGUCCGUAUGCACUUUACAAAUAUCUAUGUCUCCAUUUUGAACACUUUCACGAAUGGAGUUGAAGCGACGCUUGAUAUGCCUGGUCUUCCUGUGAAACCUGGGCUCCUUGGCAAGGGCAAUAGCUCCAGUGUUGUCACAGAAGAGAGUCAUCGGGCCCGACGCAUUGGGAAUCACCCCUAGGUCGGUAAUGAACUCCUUCAUCCAGACUGCUUCUUGCGCUGCCUCUGAGGCUGCCAUGUACUCCGCUUCACAUGUAGAUCCCGCCACGACACUUUGCUUGCAACUGCACCAGCUUACUGCCCCUCCAUUCAAAAUAUACACGUAUCCGGUUUGUGACUUCGAGUCAUCCAGAUCUGUGUCGAAGCUAGCGUCGACGUAACCCUUUACGACGAGCUCUUCGUCACCUCCAUAAACGAGAAACAUAUCCUUAGUCCUCUUCAGGUACUUCAGGAUAUUCUUGACCGCUGUCCAGUGUUCCAUGCCGGGAUUACUUUGGUACCUUCCUACCAAACUUACAGCAAGGUUUACAUCAGGUCUGGUACACAGCAUGGCAUACAUAAUAGACCCAAUGGCCGAGGCAUAGGGGAUGACACUCAUCUUUUCUCUAUCUUCUGCCGUGGUCGGGCAUUGAGCCGUGCUCAAUUGCACACCUUGCAAUACAGGCAAGAACCCCUUCUUGGACUGAUCCAUAUUGAACUUCUUCAAUAUCUUGUCAAGGUACGUACUCUGUGAAAGACCAAUGAGGCGUCUUGAUCUAUCUCUAUAGAUCUUGAUGCCUAAUAUAUAAGCAGCUUCUCCAAGGUCCUUCAUUGAAAAACACUUAUUCAAAUAGGCCUUUAUACUUUCCAAGAAUUCUAUAUCAUUUCUCAUCAAUAGUAUGUCAUCCACAUAUAAUAAGAGAAAUGCUACAGAGCUCCCACUCACUUUCUUGUAAACACAGGCUUCUCCAUAAGUCUGUGUAAACCCAAACGCUUUGAUCAUCUCAUCAAAACGAAUGUUCCAACUCCGAGAUGCUUGCACCAGCCCAUAGAUGGAGCGCUGGAGCUUGCAUACCUUGUUAGCAUUCUUAGGAUCGACAAAACCUUCCGGCUGCAUCAUAUACAAUUCUUCCUUAAGAAAGCCGUUAAGGAAUGCCGUUUUGACAUCCAUCUGCCAUAUCUCAUAAUCAUAGUAUGCGACAAUUGCUAACAUGAUUCGGACGGACUUCAGCUUCGCUACGGGUGAGAAAGUCUCAUCGUAGUCAACCCCUUGAACUUGUCGAUAACCCUUAGCGACAAGUCGAGCCUUAUAGAUGGUCACAUUACCAUCCGCGUCUGUCUUCUUCUUAAAGAUCCAUUUAUUUUCUAUCGCUCGCCGAUCAUCGGGCAAGUCUGUCAAAGUCCACACUUUGUUUUCAUACAUGGAUCCUAUCUCGGAUUUCAUGGCUUCUAGCCAUUUGUCGGAAUCCGGGCCCGCCAUCGCUUCUUCAUAGUUCGAAGGUUCACCGUUGUCUAACAACAUGAUUUCCAGGGCAGGGUUGCCGUACCACUCUGGUGCGGAACGUGUCCUUGUGGACCUUCGAAGUUCAGCAGUAACUUGAUCCGAAGCUUCAUGAUCAUCAUCAUUAACUUCCUCCCCAGUCGGUGUAGGCACCACAGGAACAUCUUCCCGCUGCGCUACUUUCCGGUUCGGAAAGGGUGACUAUCACCUCAUCAAGUUCCACUUUCCUCCCACUCAAUUCUUUCGAGAGAAACUCUUUCUCCAGAAAGGACCCGUUCUUGGCAACAAAGAUCUUGCCUUCGGAUCUGAGGUAGAAGGUAUACCCAAUAGUUUCCUUAGGGUAUCCUAUGAAGACGCAUUUUUCCGACUUGGGUUCGAGCUUUUCAGGUUGAAGUUUCUUGACAUAAGCAUCGCAUCCCCAAACUUUUAGAAACGACAGCUUAGGUUUCUUCCCAAACCAUAAUUCAUACGGUGUCGUCUCAACGGAUUUCGACGGUGCCCUAUUUAAAGUGAAUGCGGCAGUCUCUAAAGCAUAGCCCCAAAAUGAGAGCGGUAGAUCGGUAAGAGACAUCAUAGAUCGCACCAUAUCCAAUAGAGUGCGAUUACGAUGUUCGGACACACCGUUUCGCUGAGGUGUUCCAGGCGGCGUGAGUUGUGAAACGAUUCCACAUUUCCUUAAGUGCGUACCAAAUUCGUGACUUAAAUAUUCUCCACCACGAUCUGAUCGUAAGAACUUUAUUUUCCUGUCACGUUGAUUCUCAACCUCACUCUAAAAUUCCUUGAACUUUUCAAAGGUUUCAGACUUGUGUUUCAUUAGGUAGACAUACCCAUAUCUACUUAAGUCAUCAGUGAGAGUGAGAACAUAACGAUAUCCUCCGCGAGCCUCAACACUCAUUGGACCGCACACAUCGGUAUGUAUGAUUUCCAAUAAGUUGGUUGCUCGCUCCAUUGUUCCGGAGAAUGGAGUCUUGGUCAUCUUACCCAUGAGGCAUGGUUCGCACGUGUCAAAUGAUUCGUAAUCAAGAGACUCCAAAAGUCCAUCUGCAUGGAGCUUCUUCAUGCGCUUGACACCAAUGUGACCAAGGCGGCAGUGCCACAAGUAUGUGGGACUAUCGUUAUCAACUUUACAUCUUUUGGUAUUCACACCAUGAAUAUGUGUAACAUCACGUUCGAGAUUCAUCAAGAAUAAACCAUUGACCAGCGGGGCAUGACCAUAAAACAUAUCUCUCAUAUAAAUAGAACAACCAUUAUUCUCGGAUUUAAAUGAGUAGCCAUCUCGAAUUAAACGAGAUCCAGAUACAAUGUUCAUGCUCAAAGCUGGCACUAAAUAACAAUUAUUGAGGUUUAAAACUAAUCCCGUAGGUAAAUGCAGAGGUAGCGUGCCGACGGCGAUCACAUCGACCUUGGAACCAUUCCCGACGCGCAUCGUCACCUCGUCCUUCGCCAGUCUCCGCUUAUUCCGCAGUUCCUGUUUUGAGUUACAAAUAUGAGCAACCGCACCGGUAUCAAAUACCCAGGAGCUACUACGAGUACUGGUAAGGUACACAUCAAUUACAUGUAUAUCACAUAUACCUUUGGUGUUGCCGGCCUUCUUGUCCGCUAAGUAUUUGGGGCAGUUCCGCUUCCAGUGACCACUUCCCUUGCAAUAAAAGCACUCAGUCUCAGGCUUGGGUCCAUUCUUCGACUUCUUCCCGGCAACUGGCUUACCGGGCGCGGCAACUCCCUUGCCGUACUUCUUGAAGUUCUUCUUACCCUUGCCUUUCUUGAACUUAGUGGUUUUAUUCACCAUCAACACUUGAUGUUCCUUUCUGAUCUCCACCUCCGCUGAUUUCAGCAUCAAAUAUACCUCAGGAAUGGUCUUUUCCAUCCCCUGCAUAUUGAAGUUCAUCACAAAGCUCUUGUAGCUCGGUGGAAGCGACUGAAGGAUUCUGUCAAUGACCGCGUCAUCCGGGAGAUUAACUCCCAGCUGAGACAAGCGGUUGUGUAACCCAGACAUUCUGAGUAUGUGCUCACUAACAGAACUAUUUUCCUCCAUUUUACAGCUGAAGAACUUGUCAGAGACUUCAUAUCUCUCGACCCGGGCAUGAGCUUGGAAAACCAUUUUCAGCUCUUCGAACAUCUCAUAUGCUCCAUGUUUCUCAAAACGCUUUUGGAGACCCGGUUCUAAGCUGUAAAGCAUGCCGCACUGAACGAGGGAGUAAUCAUCAGCACGUGAUUGCCAAGCGUUCAUAACGUCUUGGUUCUCUGGGAUUGGUGCUUCACCUAGCGGUGCUUCUAAGACAUAAUCUUUCUUGGCAGCUAUGAGGAUGAUCCUCAGGUUCCGGACCCAGUCUGUUUAGUUGCUGCCAUCAUCUUUCAGCUUGGUUUUCUCUAGGAACGCGUUGAAGUUGAGGACAACGUGGGCCAUUUGAUCUACAAGACAUAUUGUAAAGAUUUUAGACUAAGUUCAUGAUAAUUAAGUUCAUCUAAUCAAAUUAUUCAAUGAACUCCCACUCACAUAGACAUCCCUCUAGUCAUCUAAGUGAAACAUGAUCCGAGUUAACUAGGCCGUGUCCGAUCAUCACGUGAGACGGACUAGUCAAGAUCGGUGAACAUCUCCAUGUUGAUCGUAUCUUCUAUACGACUCAUGCUCGAUCUUUCGGUCCUCCGUGUUCCGAGGCUCCUUCCACAACUUCCUCCGUCUGCUCAAGCGCUCAUCCUGCCUGUUGUUUUCGGACCUCGACAAGGUUGUCAAGCCCAAUGUUGCCUUCCUGAGGGAGUGCGGGCUAGGUGAUUGUGAUAUUGCCAAGCUGUGUAUCUGGGAGCCGAGGAUGCUGGCAAUUAACCCGGAGCGCGUCCGCGCAAUGGUGGCAUGUGCUGAAAGAUUAGGUGUACCUCGUGGCGAUGGGAUGUUCAGGCUAGCGCUACAGGCUGUCGCGUUUCUCAACGAGGAGAAGAUUGCCGGCAAAGUGGACUACUUGAAGAAUACAUUCAGGUGGUCUGAUGCCCAAGUGCGCAUUGCUGUGUGUGGCGCUCCGUUUGUGCUGAGGAAGUCCAAGGAAUCUCUGAAGCGUAGGUCUGAGUUCCUAUUCUCUGAAGUGGGACUGGAACCCGUUUACGUUGCUCAUCGACCGAUAAUUCUCUGUCUUAGCCUGGAUGGACGGGUCAGGCCCAGGUACUAUGUUCUGAAGUUCCUCAAGGAAAAUGGAUUGGUAGAUCGCAAGCUGAGCUUCCAUACUGCAGUCAUGAUGACUGAGAAGGUAUUUGUGGAGAAGCUCAUAUGCCCUCACAAGGAAGCUGCACCACACCUCUCUGAAGACUAUGAAACAGCUUGCAAAGGGGAAGUGCCAACUAAUUUCAUAUUUACAUGAACAAAAAACGGCUAUGGAAAUUGGUUACAGUGUAUGGCGCAACAAUGUUAUCAUCCUGCGUGUAAGCUGUUAGUACUUUCCUGUUUCGUUAUUCUUUGCCUAAGAUGAUGUUGGUUGUUUUCUGUAGUAUGCCCGUUACAUGACAGUUUGGCAUUGCUAAAUGCGAACUCCCUAUGACACUGAUAAUUUGGUUCCUGAGCCCAGUAUGUUGAUGUUGCUAUUCCUUACAGAGUAUCUCUGUAAAUGAGAAGUUCAUGGAUAUAUUUGUGUUUCUGACUUCCAUUAAAGAUCAUGGAAAUAGGAUGUGUGGGUGGACCAAUUUUAUGAUGAACCCAGCAUUCACAAAACUAGAAACCAAAAUAGUAAUGCGGUGUCCUUUUCCACCAAAAUGUAUCAGUAUGAUCUGCUUCCAUGCCAAAAUUUAUUUAUCAUGCAUGUUCGUUUUCAUUUCCUUGUCUUUUAGAUUCCACUCUAUGUAAAUUAGUACUAACUGUGUUUAAUAUUUAGGUUAGAUUUAUAGACACUGAGACCUUCCACUGGUUGUCCACUCUAUGUAGGGUUCUGGCUGCAUUUAAUGAGCAACAGGGGUAGCAAUCCCCGCUGCUGUUACCAUGCCAUUAUAUACAAACAUGUUUCCUGUUUGAACACAUGAAAGAUCAGUCAUUUAGAUCUGAAAAAGAAGAGAAAAUUGCAGCAACUACAGGUGAUUAAAUGUUGUUUAAAAGCUGCAAACUGCAGGUGAUUACCGACAAGAUGAGAAAUAGUAUAUAUUCAGUGAACACAGAGUAUAAUAUAUACCUAGGUGAUGAAUAGUAUAUAUUCAGAUAAGAUGGGUAUCAGUACGAAAAAUUCACCCUGCUGUUAAGAUUCAUAAAAUUUUCUUAGAAGAGUUUUACUUGAGCAAAAUUAAUGGUUAAGAUAGCUUGAUACUGUCUUUGGGACACUUAUUUUGGGACGGAGGGAGUAACUUUCGCGGAGAUUAGAAUUAUGUUUAUGCAGAAGUUACAGCUAACUGUCUCAAGUAAAAGAAAGACAAAUUAGUCUGAUGUAAAUUUCUGCUGCACUGAAGCAUAAUAUUGUGAUUCUGAAUUAUCACAUUAAGCAUGAGUAUAUUUUUGUGACUUUGAAAUGACCGACGCUGCAAGUGGUUUGAGGUUUCUAAUGAUCAGUUAAGACUAUUAAACAUUAAUUUUUGUCUGAAGAAGUGGGUGUUUCGAUUGAUGCAUCGGGUCAAAAUUGUAUAUGUGAUUUAGGUUAACAUUGCAAUGACCACUUUUCUUGGAACACAAAACUAAGUUAUUAUUAUAUACUAGCCCCCCAUGAUUCUGUUGUAUAUAAAUUCAGUUUUGUGUUCUGGCUACACAUUUGUUUAGGUGCAGACCUGUCCCUCUGCCUGGUGCCGCCACCGCCGCCUGCGCCAUGCUCGGGCUCCGGCUCCGAGAGUGCAUCCUUUCCCAUAUCCUCUCUUCUCCCUCCAAAGCUGCAUUCUCUCCACUCCGCCGCCUCCUCUCCGCCACAGGGGCCCCCGUUUUCCUGAACCCUAUUAGCUUCGCCGUCGAGGACUACCUCGUCGGUACCUGCGGCCUCACCCGUCCCCAAGCCCCCAAGGCCUCGAAGAAGCUCUCCCACCUCAAGUCCCCCACUAAUCCCGACAACGUCCUCGCUGGCCUCGGCCUCUCCGGCGCCGAUGCCGCCGCCAUCGUCGCCAAAGACCCGCAGUUCCUCUGCGCCAGCGUGGACAAAACCCUGUCCCCCGUCGUCGCCGGGCUCACCCGCCUCGGCCUGUCUAGUCCUGAGAUUGGCCGCCUUGUCUCGGUCGUCCACAAACAAUGUCGUUACAGAUCCAUCAUCUCCAAGAUGCAGUACUAUCUGCCCCUCUUCGGCUCCUGCCACAACUUCCUCAGGGCGCUCCAGCGCUCGUCCUACUCCUACCUUCUCUCGUCGGACCUCGAUAAGUUGGUCAAGCCCAAUGUUGCCUUCCUGAGGGAGUGCGGGCUAGGUGCUUGUGAUAUUGCCAAGCUGUGUAUCCGGGAGCCGAGGAUACUGGCAAUUAACCCGGAGCGCGUCCGGGCAAUGGCGGCAUGUGCUGAAAGACUAGGUGUGCGCCGCGGCUCUGGUAUGUUCAGGCUAGCGCUACAGGCUGUCGCGUUUCUCAGCGAGGAGAAGAUUGCCGCCAAAUUGGACUACUUGAAGAAUACUUUCAGGUGGUCUGAUGCCCAAGUGAGCAUUGCUGUGCGCAAGUAUCCAAAUCUGCUGGGGAAGUCAAAGGAAUCUCUGAAGCGCAGGUCCGAGUUCCUGGUCUCUAAGGUGGGGGUGGAACCCGUGUACAUUGCUCAUCGACCGACAUUGCUCUCUUAUAGCAUGGAGGGCCGACUCAGACCCCGGUACUAUGUUAUAAAGUUUCUCAAGGAAAAUGGACUGCUAGAUGGUGACCUGAGCUUCUUUACUGCGGUCAAGAUGACUGAGAAGGUAUUUAUGGAGAAACUCAUAUCCCCUCACAAGGAAGCUGCACCACACCUUGCUGAAGACUAUGCAACAGCUUGCAAAGGGGAAGUGCCAACUAAUUUCAUAUUUAGAUGGACCAGGAACAGGCUAUGAAAAUCCGUAACCUGUGUAUGGUGCAAGAAAUUUUUCACUCUGUGUAGUAAGUUGGUAACUCCUGCCUUGGUGUUUAGGCCUAACUGGAUGUUCACUAUCUUUUCCAGUGUGUUUGUUACUUGCCAGUUUGCUCAUUGCUAACUCUUGAUGUAACUAGUAAUAAAUUGAUUUCUGAACCCCGAUAUGCUGUUGUUGUCAUUCCUUAGAGAAGAUCCUUCAAAAUAUCAGUCUGGUCUGCUUUUAUGGCAAUUUUUAUCUAGCAUGUUCCCUUUUGAUUUCAUUGUAUUUUCAGUUGCAUCAUAUUUCAGUUAGUACUAAGUUUGUGGUUCAAUGUUCAGUAUUUGGAUUAUUCUUACAAAUAUUAUGACAGUUAGUACUAAAGUUUGUAGUUCAAUGUUAAGUAUUUACAUUAUGCUUAGAUAUAUAUAUUUCUAAUUGAUGUCGGUUCUUUUUUAACCUUUUGUUUUCUUCCUCCUUAUUCAUUCCUAAAUACCACAGUUGACCUUUCUUUAGUUUGGAAAUUCUCAAAUUUCUACAUAUGAAUCAGUCUUAUCAUUUGCACCCCUCAUUAAUUGUCAGAAUAAACCAAUUGAGGUGCCAUGUAUAACAAGCAAAUCCAAUGAAGUUUGAACUAACACUUGUUCUUGUGGACAUAUGAAGAAGAAAAGGCUAUGAGAUUUUCCCACUACAACCUACUGCUUGCACUGAGGGCAAACGUUUUUUUCUUCAUAUCUGUCUACAAUUCAGUGAAAUCGUAGAUUUAUGAAUAUAGUUUGCAACAAAAUUCAUCCCAGUUUUCUGCCUUGAAACGACACUGAGACCUUCGAUCUGUUGUCCAUCCUAACAUAAAAAGUUGCGAAUUGUUUUCUUUAGCAAGGACUAAGAUUUCAGAGUUGCUCGACUAGUACUUGUCUUGCAACCAAAUUAGUGUCGCAACAUGUCCACGAGUCAGUGCCCUGGGCACUUGGAAUCCUUGGUGUUUAGUGAUGUAUGUAUCUGUUCUGAUGGUGUUUAAUGAGAAGCAGGGAUAACUCACCGUGCUACUCUUACCAUGACAUUAUAUGCAAACAUUUUUCCUGUUGAAACACGUGAAAGAUCACAACCAUAUCGAUCUGAAAAAGAAGAGAAAAAAAUGGGAAAUAGUAUAUAUUCAGUAAAAACAAAAUAUUAGUUCAUGAAUUAGUAAAGGUUAUACCUCGGUGAUGAAGUGCACAUCAGCACGGUGACUCCAACUCGCUUGUCAGCCAUUGGAUGUAGUGCGCCUCUGUUCUUUUGCUUGUGCAGAGCGUCAGCAGAUCUGGGCUGCUAUUGCAAUUUUUUGUUCUGCGCAGUGACUUGAACUGAGGUGAGUUAACUUGCUUUUCCUGAAUUUCAUGAUCCNNNNNNNNNNNNNNNNNNNNNNNNNNNNNNNNNNNNNNNNNNNNNNNNNNNNNNNNNNNNNNNNNNNNNNNNNNNNNNNNNNNNNNNNNNNNNNNNNNNNNNNNNNNNNNNNNNNNNNNNNNNNNNNNNNNNNNNNNNNNNNNNNNNNNNNNNNNNNNNNNNNNNNNNNNNNNNNNNNNNNNNNNNNNNNNNNNNNNNNNNNNNNNNNNNNNNNNNNNNNNNNNNNNNNNNNNNNNNNNNNNNNNNNNNNNNNNNNNNNNNNNNNNNNNNNNNNNNNNNNNNNNNNNNNNNNNNNNNNNNNNNNNNNNNNNNNNNNNNNNNNNNNNNNNNNNNNNNNNNNNNNNNNNNNNNNNNNNNNNNNNNNNNNNNNNNNNNNCACUAGGAGGGAUGUACAUGCUUGUGUUGGUCAGUGCUUUAUAUUUACGUGGGGACAAAUGCAUUGGAUAUUUUGUUCAAAUAGGAGGGAUAUAUCUAAUCAUAUUGCCAUUUUCUUGCUGUUUUAGUUGCUGCCACAGUGAAGUCGCUGCAUAGGUAAUGGUCACAUCAGAUUUGAAGAGGAUAGUUUUUCUAUUUGCAUGAUCUUACUUGGAUGUAGUAGAUGUGAAGCUCAGCUCUAGCGUACACUCUGCUGUCGGUAUUUAGAAAAAUGUAAUACCUAUUUCCUAAGAUGCACCGCCCUGAACAUUUUUAGGAGAAUGGCUGCUGUUGAUAAAACCCCAAGAUGAUAGGUGCACUGUUCUGGAUUUUUAGGAUAUCAGCUAUCCUAUGUAUCUUUGAGUUGCUAAUUUCAAAUUAAUAGAAUUCAACAUCUUUAUCCCCAUUUGCAUUCUUGUUCGAGUUGCGUCUGAUUAACCAUGUGUUCCACUUAUGUAAUCAUAUCCGGUCCCUGCUCUCUGUUUCUGUAUCCAUGUGCUCCACCACAAUGGUAACCAUCAGGCCUCGCCGGCAAAUCUUGAGCGUUGUCAAUGGUUUUUGUUCUGAUUGGAGACGAGUGAUAAGGAUUGUGACGACGGGAGUUUUUGGCAGGAAAUUUGCUUGGAUCUCUGGCAACACGAUCCAUAAAUUGAUUGACUCUGCCCAACUUGAGCUGCUGUGCUGUGUUUGUGAAUCACGGACGAUGGAAAAUAGAAGAUGACGGGUGUGGUGAAGAAUUCGAAGGGAUCUCUGAAGCACAGGUCUGAGUUCCUGUUCUCUAAGGUGGGGGUGGAACCCGUGUACAUUGCUUAUCGAUCGGAAAUACUUUCUUAUAGCAUGGUGGACCGACUCAGACCUGGGAACUAUGUUAUCAAGUUUCUCAAUCAAAAUGGACUGCUAGAUCGUGACUUGAGCUUAUAUUCUGCAGUCAAGAUGACUGAGAAGGUAUUUGUGGAGAAGCUCAUAUGUCCUCACAAGGAAGCCGCACCACACCUCGCUGAAGAUUAUGCAGCAGCUUGCAAAGGGGAAGUACCAACUAAUUUCAGAUUUACAUGAACAAAGAAGGGCUAUGGAAAUUGGUUACAGCCUAUGGCACAACAAAGUUAUCACCCUGUCUGUAAGCUGGUACUUCCUGUUUCGGUGUUCUUUCCCUAAGAUGAUGUUGGUUGUUUACUGUAGUAUGCCUGUUACAUGCUAGUUAGUCAUUGCUAAGUGCUAACUCCUUAUGAAACUGAAAAUUUGAUUCCUGAACCCCCAUAUGUUGAUGUUGUCAUUUCUUAGAGAAGAUCUCUGUAAAUGAGAAGUCCAUGGAUAUAUAUUUGAUUCCGACUUCCAUUGAAGAUGAUGCAAAUUGGAUGCGUGGGUGGAUCAAUUUUGUAUUGAAACCACUACCCACGAAACCAGAAAGCAAAAGAGUAAUGAUGUGUUGUUUUCCACCGAAAUGUAUCACCCUGCUGUCCGGAUUCAUAAUUUUUUCUUAAAAAAGUUUUACUUGAGCAAAAUUAAUGGUUAAGAUGCUAGAUUUUUUCGCUGGUAUUAGACUUGUGUUUUACUCAUAAGUUCCAGCUAACUAUCUCGAAUAAAGGAAGACUGACCUAAUUAGACUGACCUAAUUAGUCGCCAAAGACCCGCGGCUCCUAUGCGCCAAAGUGGACAAAACCCUGGCCCCCGUCGUCGCCGGGCUCACCGGCCUCGGCCUGUCUAGUCCUGAGAUUGGCCAACUGGUCUCGCUUGCCCGCACCCGCUUUCGCUGCAGAGCCGUCGUCUCCAGGCUGCAGUACUACCUGCCACUCUUCGGCUCAUUCGACAACUUACUCCGGCUGCUCAAGCGCGAAUCCAACCUUCUCUCGAUCGACCUUGACAAGGUGGUCAAGCCCAAUGUCGUGUUCCUGAGGGAGUGCGGGCUAGGUGAUUGUGAUAUUGCCAAGCUGAGUAUCCGUGUGCCUAGGAUGCUCAUCACCAACCCGGAGCGCGUCCGGGCGAUGGUCGCACGUGCCGAAACAUUAGGUGUGCCCCGCUGCUCUGGGAUGCUCAGGGAAGUGCUACAGGCUGUCGCGUUUCUCAGCAAGGAGAAGAUUGCCGCCAAAGUGGACUACUUGAAGAAUACCUUCAGGUGGUCUGAUGCCGAAGCUUGCAUUGCUGUGCGCAAGUAUCCGAGUGUGUUGAAGAAGUCAAAGGAAUCUCUGAAGCGCAGGUCUGAGUUCCUGAUCUCUGAGGUGGGGCUGGAACCUGUGUCCAUUGCUCAUCGACCAGUAGUUCUCAGUCUUAGCCUGGAGGGCCGGCUCAGACCCCGGUACUAUGUUAUAAAGUUUCUCAAGGAAAAUGGACUGCUAGAUCGUGACCCGAGCUUCUUUACUGCGGUCAAUAUCUCUGAGAAGGUAUUUAUGGAGAAAAUCAUAUCCCCUCACAAGGAAGCUGCACCACACCUUGCUGAAGACUAUGCAACAGCUUGCAAAGGAGAAGUGCCAACUAAUUUCAGAUUCAUGUGAACAAAAAAAUGGCUAUGGAAAUUGGUUACAGUGUAUUGCGCAACAAAGUUAUCACCCUGUAAGCUUGUACUUUGUGUUUCGGUGUUCUUUGCAUAACAUGCUGUUGCCUGUUGCUAAAUGCUAACUCCCUAUGAAACUGGUAAUUUGAUUCCUGAACCUCUAUUUGUUGAUGUUGUCAUUCCUUAGAGAAGAUCUCUGUAAAUGAGAAGUUCCUGGAUAUAUUUGUGUUUCCAACUUCCAUGAAAGAUCAUGAAAAUUGGAUGUGGUGGCUGAACCAAUUUUAUGAUGAACCCAGCAUUCACGAAACCAGAAACGAAAUGAGUAAUGUGGUGUCGUUUCCCAUGAAAAUGUAUCAGUAUGAUCUGCUUCCAUGCCAAAAUUUAUUUACCAUGCAUGUUCAUUCACAUUUCUUUGUCUUUUAGGUUCCACCGUAUAUGUCAAUGAGUACUAACAUUGUUUUCUAUUUAGGUUAGACUUACAGACACCAAGACCUUCUACUGGUUGUCCAUUCUAUAACCUAAAGAGUGGCAAAUUAUUGUGAUUUGUGAUGUAUAUGUGUUCUGGCUGUGUUCAUUGAGCAACAGGGGUAACAAUCCCAGCUGCUGUUUCCAUGCCAUUAUAUACAAACAUUUUUCCUGUUUGAACUCAUGAAAGAUCACAGUCAUUUAGAUCUGAAAAAGAAGAGAAAAUUGCAUCAACUACUUGUAUUGUUUAAAAGCUGCAAACUGCAGCUGAUGACCGACAAGAUGAGAAAUAGUAUAUAUUCAGUGAACACAGAGUAUAUACCUAGGUGAUGAAUAGUAUAAAUUCAGAUAAGAUGGGCAUCAGUACGAAAAAAUCACCCUGCUGUUAAGAUUCAUAAACUUUUCUUAAAAGAGUUUUACUUGAGCAAAAUUAUUAGUUAAGAUAGCUUGAUACUCCCUCUGUCCCAAAUAAGUGUCUCUAAAGUUGAGACACUUAUUUUGGGACAGAGGGAGUAUUUUUAACGGGGAUCAGAAUCAUGUUUAUGCAGAAGUUACAACUAACUAUCUCUCAAGUAAAAGAAAAACAAGUUAGUCUGAUUUAAAUUUUUUGUUGCACUGAAGCAUAAUAUGGUGAUUCUGAAUUACCACAUUAAGCAUGAGUAUAUUUUUCUGACUUUGAAAUGAUGGAUGCUGCAAGUGGUUUGAGGUUUCUAAUGAUCAGUUCAGACUAUUAAACAUUAGUUUCUGUUUGAAGAAGUGGGUGUUUCGAUUGAUGCGUCAGGUCAAAAUUGCAUAUGUGAUUUUGGUUAGCAUUGCAAUGACCACUUUUCUUGGAACACAAAAGUAAGUUAUUAUUAUAUACUAGCACCCCACGAUUCUGUUGUAUAUAAAUUCAGUUUUGUGUUCUGGUUACACAUUUGUUUAGGUACAGACCUGUCCCUCUGCCUGGUGCUAUUAGGUGUGCCCUUUCAGAAACCAGCAUUGUGUUGCACAGCUGUUUAUGUUUGUAUAGUUUAUAACUUCCAGUUACAAAGAUUUAAGUAUCUACAUGUUGCAAAAGAAAAGAGUAUCCACAUCCAGUAGUAUCUAACAUUUAAAUUCAGUUCUUUCUCCAUACUGAUUCACAUCCAGUAUUCAGCUUGUUUCUUACAGCUAGUUCUGCUUUAGUUAUCAACCCCAUCCCUUGGAAGAAAGAAGGUAGCACCAAAGAUUGCAGUUAAUAACUUAAAAUUGUAUCUUCAGUUCACUCUGUUCACUUAAUAUUUCUGUCACGGCUACUACAAACUUCGACCAUGGUAUGUUAUAUGAAAUUAAAAAAAUGGAAACUAUGAAAGAAUGUUGCAAAAGUUUUUUGACGAGCGAUUGCAUGCUCCCUCAGCGGAAGCAGCAAAGCUCGGGGCAUUCUAAGGCAUCAUCACCUGGCACAUUGGCACUGAUGUUUUCCUUGCCAGAAGCAGUUGAGCCAAGGUGGAUGAUGCAGCCCAGGAACAAGUGGUGAAGACCAUUCAUUGAGCGGCCCUAUGCUACCUGGCCGGGCCUCCUUAUGACAAAAAGAUUACUGGAUCUGGCACAUGAUUGCUUCCCCUUGCGCAGUAGUUCGAUUUAUGGUUAAGGUAGCUUGACUUUUUUUCACUGGGAUUAGACUCAUUUUUACUCAGAAGUUCCAGCUAACUAUCUCUCAAGUAAAAGAAAAAAGAACCUUAUUAGUCUGAUCUAAUUUUGCUGCUGCACUGAAGCCUAAUACGGUGACGCUGAAUUACCAUAUUUUCCUUACUUUGGAAGGAUGGACGACUGCAGAUGGGUUGAGUUUUGUAAUGUUCAGUUCUGACUAUUAAAUAUUCAUUUUUGACUGAAGAAGUAGGUGUUUCGAUUGAUGUGUCAUAUAUAUAUAUAUAUAUAUAUAUAUAUAUAUAUAUAUAUAUGAUUAAGGUGAGUGGUGUGUUUCUCAGGUUUACAUUGCAAUGACCACUGUUCCUAGAAACACGAACUGAAUUUAUGAUUAUACACUAGGCCCGUGUGAUUCAGUUUUAUAUAAAUUCAGUUUCUGUUUUGGUACACAUUUCUUUCGGCGCAGACCUGUCCCUCUGUCUGGUUAGUAUGAGGUGCGCCCUUUCAGAAACCAGCAUUGUAUUGUGCCACAACUGUUUAUGUUUAUAUAGUGUUUCUAACUUCCAGCUACAAUGAUUUAAGUAUUCACAUGUUGCAAAAGAAAAGAUUAUCCACGUCCAGUAUCUGACAUAUAAAUUCAGUUCUUUUCUCCACCCUGAUUCAUAUCCAGUAAUCAGCUUGUUUCUUACAGCUAGCUCUGCUUUAGCUAUAUUUUAUUGCAGUUAAUAAUGCAUCUACAGUCCCUUCUAUGUUAUAUGAAACAAAAACAUGGAUAAUGUGAAAACAUGUUUCAUGACAAAUUUAGUGAGCAAUUGCAGGUCUUAGCAAAAGCAGAACCCAAGCGAUGAAAACCGAAGGAUAAAGAAGUUCGGAAGGGGAGGAAACCACAGCCCAGGAGGAGAACCCAAACUCAUAGAAAUAGAGCUAGCCAUAUUCUGAGGGCUCAGAGGGCUCUGUCCCGGCUGGUGUCAUUGAACGCCUGGUACCUAGCCAGAUUCCUUGCCUCCUCCACCGGUGUCGGUCCGAUGCGCCACCCCAUCUUGGGCACGAGGAGGGUCACCGCCGACAACCUUGCCACCGCGGAGUUGGUGACCAUAUCCACAUGGUGAUCGACCCUUGCCAGCACUCUACUGCUAUUGGUGAUAAGCUCCAUGACUCCAUCUGGUGCCGAAGUUGAUGACAGACACAUCGGGUAUUGCGGGACGAUGAGCCACCUUCUAUCAUGCGAUGUCACCCUGGCAUUGGGAGAGCAUGGUGACGAGGUGGCGGUCGUAGCGUGGGAAGAAGCCAAGCGUGGCGGUUGGGGUCUGAGCAUGGAGGGUCACCCCCAACGGUGGUGAGCCAGAGCGGUGUCUGACAAAAACAAAGUGCGUGAGUGUACCUGUAAGAAGCCGAACUCCAUGCCAGCCUGGAUAACAUGGCUGAAUGGUCUCAUCUAAUUAUGUUUCUCCAAAUCAUGGUUGAACGAAUUAUGUGUUGUCAAUUCUAUUUUUUUCCCAUGUUCAGAUUCAAGGAGUGAUUUGGGAAGUAUCAGUAUUCAGUGAUGGGCAUCUUCAGAUACGUGGACAUGGGCAGUGAGCUCAUGCUCUCCUUCCACUAAGAAAGGCAUGUAGCCUCAAGCUCGGCUUACUCUUUGAUUUUUUUUUUUGUGAGAACUGCUCCUCUUUCAACCUGGUGGAUUUGAUAUUUGUUACUCCCUCCGUUCCAAAAUAUAGGAGAUAUAGUUUUUGGCACGGAAAUUAAAGAACAUAUGUGGAGGGAAAAUUUCACAAGUUUUGGGCGAGAUUGCACCUAACUAAUUAACAUGAGAAAAUAGAGGAGCUUGCAUAAUAUCAGGAAAUGUAAUCAAAUCCCUAAAAAAAUUAUCCAAACGAGAGUGGUGGAACGCAAUACACCUUAUAUUUCAGAUUUUUUUUUUCAAAAAUCUAUACACCUUAUAUCAAGGAACGGAGGGAGUAUAAAAAAUCCAUGUACUGUUUUGCUUCUUCCAUAUACUGAUACUUCCCAAAUCACUCCAGCCUUAACUUAAAUAAACAUAAUUUAGUGUCGAAAUUUGAAGCCAAGCUCCAGCCUACUGAAAUGGUAGUGAGAUUCACUGAUCCUUCACAUACCAUGCAUAUUUCUUGGUUUCUUAAAAAAAUAGCAUUCUGUAUAAGCUAAUACUGAUGGACAAAUUUUUAUUGGAUCAGUGACUUGAUUGCUUUUAUUUAGGUCCGAGCCUCCUUGUGUAGUAGAGCGUUACAGCUAUUUAGACACAGGUUUUUUUUUUUGAGUUGUAAUGCCUAAGAUGCAUACUGCCUGAAUCCUUUUAGGACAAUGGCUGCUGUUGGUAUUUCUAGUGCCUACUACAAAAUCAUACACACACAGUUGUGAGUUUUUUUUCAUGAUAUCAGCUGUUGUCUAUAUCUUUUUAGUGGCUGUUUUCAAAUGGAAAAUCAAGGUUGUUGUAUGCUCAUAAGCAGCCUGCAGGUACUAAUUAAUCCCCUUUUUUUUCCUCUGCCUGAGAAGUUAAGAUGAUUUUUUUUGAACUUUGAAUUGGGAGCUAUGUACGUCCCCACGGAUCCUUCUCGUCUUCCACGUGAUUCGAGUCGCCUCUCUCCGUCAGGUACGAACUCGAUCCGCCUCCCCGCAGGAUGAUUCUCUGUUGAUUUCUUUUCCUGUCGCGUCGAUCCGGGCGGAUCUGGGACGGAAUCAGCCGCACCUGAUGCUUGGUCGUUUCAUCGAUUUGAUCCUGUUCGCCCCCGCUCUGUUUGCUUGAUGAUCCAUUCGAUUGGGGAUAAGCAAAGGGGUUCGGGGAUUGAUGAUUUGUUGGGAAGUUAGCCUCUGCUGCUGCAUCUUAGUUGAUCUGAUCUGGAUUUGCAGUUUGAGGUAGGGGUCCAUAAUGUGCGGGCAUCUAGCGAGCUUGUAAGCUUAUGUAGAACUGCUUGGGUAGAUCCAACUAUUCUGUGGUAGUUGCUGGUAUGUAUGGUAAAUUAACCCGAUUAGCUUGCUGUGUAUGAAUAUUUAAGCCGCUUUCUUUCAAUCUGUUCGUUCUGAGCUUUGCAUCACUGGUGUGUGUUCCUUCCAGAUCCUGCACGGACCUCCUCCCUGUCAGGCCCCUCUUGCCGCCCGUCGACACGACCUUCGAUCUUGUUGUGUUGAUCAUGGGUAAGUGGCAAUGCAUUAUAAUGUUGUCAUUGGAUUUCUCUUUUGGGCUUUUAUUUAUCUUUUGAUGUACAAUGUCUACAACUACCCAAAAAAUUAAGCUAUGUGUGACGUGAUUCAGAACUAAGCAUGGUCUAAUGUUUUUAGGGCAAUGACAGGGACCAUUCCAUUUGAAGAGGCUCAUGCUGCCCGGAUUUCGUUAAGCAAGCCAUCUAUGUCCCAAAGUUGAGGACCGUUUGGAGAAGAGGCCACCCAGGUAACCUUAUCCAAGCUCAAACAUUAAUUUAAUCACUAUUUAGUUGUUGUACUUGCGUUCCUAGAUGGAUCUUUUGAGAUUCCACAACUUUGAUAUUCUUACUUGGGAUCAUUUGAUAUGUGCCGUUGAAAAUAACAGAACGGAUCGUUCCUAGAUGAAUUCUUAGCUGAUUUCACUGGGCUUUCUCCCUUUACGCCAAUAUGAAAUAUAUUAGCUGCAGUAUAUAGUCUAGGUUCAUUUUAAUGCGACUAAAUAAGAUAAAAAUACUACCUGCUUAUACCACUCGAGUAUCCACCGUUAGGACGUUAUGUUCCCUGCGACCACAACAUAACCUUUUUGACUUAUUAUCCCUAAAAAAAGCUGACUCUUUUUCACAAGCUGAAAAGACAAUCUGAUCUGCUACAUUUGGUCUGAAAUUUUCUUCUUGUGUGUCCACAUGAUAAAGAGGAUGCCUUUGAUCAAUUGUAAACCACUUAUUUUUCUAGGAUAUAUAGAUUUCUUGAAUUACCCACAAUAUACUUUUAUGUCAUCUAAUAUAUGUCUCCCAGACAAUUUAAACAGAUGCCAAGGAUAUGAUUAGGCGCACAUAUACAAGUAUCUUUAUGACGACACCUGCACCAGUUUUCAUCGUUGUUGUUCUUGCCUGUUGCCUCCCCCCNNNNNNNNNNNNNNNNNNNNNNNNNNNNNNNNNNNNNNNNNNNNNNNNNNNNNNNNNNNNNNNNNNNNNNNNNNNNNNNNNNNNNNNNNNNNNNNNNNNNNNNNNNNNNNNNNNNNNNNNNNNNNNNNNNNNNNNNNNNNNNNNNNNNNNNNNNNNNNNNNNNNNNNNNNNNNNNNNNNNNNNNNNNNNNNNNNNNNNNNNNNNNNNNNNNNNNNNNNNNNNNNNNNNNNNNNNNNNNNNNNNNNNNNNNNNNNNNNNNNNNNNNNNNNNNNNNNNNNNNNNNAGAGACCCCUCUCCUUUCCUUCCAGUUUGUUGGGUUUUGCUUUGUGCCAUCAUUUGAGUGGUCGAUAGGCGCAGAAAGAAAGGGAGGACAGAGUACUUCUCUCCUAAGUUAGUUUUAUAUUUAUUUGUCUGAAUUUUAGUUUAAAUAACACGACACCCAAUGGCAUACAUGACAAUUUCAACUGUUUUUGGGGGCAAAUGACAAUUAUAGUAAAUUAAAAUGACCCCAUUAGUCAUAUCUAUUAUCUCUUUAUGGGUUUAUAUUUCUACGUACUGCCACAAAAAUAUUAAUUGUUUUGCAUAUAUCGGUUGAGUUUAAUUCAGCUUUAGGAAUCAGGACACCCUCGCUCGGUUGGCUCCCACGAGCCGACGAGUGAUUCACAGCUGCGCCGCCGCCCACCUUUGCCCCUCGCCGCGCGCGACGGGGCUUCCGCCUUGUCCGGCAAGCGGCAUCUCAGGACUUGGCCACUAGGUGCGCCUGCGCUUCCUCCUCGCCUGACAGGUGGCGUUCAGGGAUGUGGCCACUGGGUAGGCUGUGAUGCUGGCGUGGUGGUUGCAUGGCAGCGGGGCUGGGCGUGGUCGUCUGAUUCUUGUGGUGGGAGGUUUCGAUGGCUCCUUAAAUCUAGCGUGACAGCGGCCAUGAGCAGUGCGAGCGGUGGGUCCUCUCAUCAUUCGCGUGGGGAUGGUUGCGGGAUCACAGUGGCUCUGUCGGCGGUUAGCGUUCGUCAUUCGGGUGGGGAUGGAGGUGGCGUCCUCCCUUCUCCUGGGUCUGAGCCGGCAGCGCACGGGCUGCACGCGCAGCAACGGUGGACAGCCACCUAGGCAUUUGAAACUGCAGAAAUGAGAUGAUAUUUUUCAGUGAUUUAUUACUCCUUCAUUUGCCCUGAAUUAUACCGUUGGUUUGUCACAAGUCUUCCCUUCCAUCCCUUCUUCCACAGAUUGCAGGUUUCAUCCUGAACAUCCUAAUGAGCAAAUCACAAGACGGCUGAAUGAUCUCAUCUAAUUAUAUUUUUCCAAAUCAUGGUUGAACGAAUUAUGUGUUGCCAGUCCCAUUUUUUCCCAUGAUUUGGGGUAUCGGUGUUAGUGUUCAGUGAUGAGCCACUGCAGUUGUAUUGCACCCAUUCCAUCUCCAGAUACGUGUACAUGAGCCAGCGAAGUGAGAUCAUGCUCUCCGUCCACUAAGAAGGGCAUGUAGCCUCAAACUCGGCUUACUCUUUGAUUGUUUUUUUUUCCUUAGGAUUGCUCCUCCUUUUACCUGCUGGAUUAGUAAGAAAUCCAGGUAUUUUAACAGGAUUUAAUUUUUCUUCUUUUAUUUAUUGGUUAAUUUUUAUUGGUAUAUUCAUAGCAGAAGUAGCCAAGAUGGCCAAUACAACGCCUUUCGGUGAAGUGCUACACCAAGAAGUUAACACUCACCUCCACCAAGACAACACCGGACACAACUCGCCUGCACGAACUCAAGCCAAACAAUGACGAAGAGAACGAACACAGAGCACACAAGCCGAGUCCCAACCGAACCGAGCAUCUCACGGCACGACAAAAACACCAAAGCAAACUGGAUCAAUGCACUCUCCACUCAUGGCGCCUAGGAGGUUGGCAGGCGGACAGCAGGAGCUAGCCUAGCUCGAUGAAGACGCCAUAGAUGAGGCGUCGAUGAUGAAGUACAUAGCACCCCGUAUGCUCAUGGCAGUAGCAACAACCAACCCAAGACAAACCCCAAGCCUCACCGUCACCUACACCAGUUACUCCUCCAGAAGACAUCCCUGAUCACCCAGGCAACACCUUCAAGAAGGGGACGACGCCGUGACGUCGCCACUGCCUAGCCCGACGAAAAUCAUCAAUGCAGUUUUCCAUAUCAUAGGACAUCUCUCUCAUGUGGUUCCUCCAAUUCUUGGCUGUGGGAUCGAGCUUAUCCAUGAGCUCCAUCUUGUCAAGCAGAGCUUUCAUGGCGUUGAGCUCAUCCCUGAGGAAGGAGGCCUGCUUCUUCACCGGCGUGAGCUGCUUGUACUCCUCGCCAAGCGGCUUGGUGAGUUCCCCGAGCAGAGGGCUCAACACUCCCGUUGUUUCACUCAUUGCCAUGUUGGUUUGUAGUUUGUACUGCUCCUUUGCCUCCGGCGCCUCUUUGGAACGAGAGAGAUGAAGUGGGUGGGCUAGCCGAGAAACUCGACACAGGAGGCUCACGCCAGCCGCUAUUGUCGUAGCCUCCCAGAAACUUCCCUCCAGAAUUCCUCGUCACCAAACCUGGAGAGCAAGGUGAGGUCGACGCGACCGUGACGUUCCUGGCUGCCGGCGCCGUCGUUGCGGGCAGGGGAGAGAUGGAGAAGAGGCUCGGAAGAGAGGGAAGGGAAGGCUCGUUGGUGCGGUGUACUGUUGGGUGGGGGUGGGUUUGGGCGGAGAGAAGCUCAGCAGAGACUGAACGGGAGAAUGGGAUUGAGACAGACGGGGAGAAGGACUUAGAUGAACAGCAAAAUCCAAAAAAAUAGUAAACUAACUCAAAAAAUUCUGAUUUUUCUGUCAACAAACAUUGACGAUUUUUCUACACACAUGCAAAUUUUCGAUUGGAAUCACAUUUGUGGAUGCGUCAGCAAAAGAAACAAAAUCAAUGCUUCCAAAAAACAUUUUUUUAGCAUCAAUUUUAAUUUUUUUACGGCACCUCCACAAAUUUGAUUUCAUCAUGAAAAUUUACACGCAUAUAGAAAAACGUCAAUAUUUAUUAACAAAAAAAUUCAGAUUUUUUUAAGUCGAAUUAUACUGUUCACCCAGGAGCAUGUGAGCUCGAGCUCACAUACUACAUGUUGGGUAUUUUUGCAAAUAUAAGGCGAUUCCAUUUCAACUCAUUGAGAGUAGAGAGCCGUGCGUGUAACAGUGAGUGUGAGAUUUUUCCUUAGAGCAACUCUAAUGCGCCGACGCAAACAGUCUGUGCGUGUUUGUUUAGGUCGAAUCGGACGCAAAAUGAGCGGGCGCAAAUGGACCAGCGUCUGCAUUUUGUCAACGCGUGACCCAUUUCAGGCCUAAAUUUGGGUCGGGUUUGCAUCGACGCGGACACACAGCAGACCCGUAUGAUGCCCGCCUCUUGUCCUCCCCUUGGCCUGCCAGUCGGUGGCACAUUGGCCAUUCCGCUUUCCUCUAUCGACAACCACCACACUCGGUCGGCCCCCUCGCCUCCGCUGCCAAAGCUGUCGGGGAGGGCAAUGUUGAGAUCAAUGACCAUACUAUAACAAAAGAUACUACCUAGCUGAUGAUAUCUAUCCUCAGUGGACUACUUUUGUGAAAAUAAUCCCCAACCCGAUAGGAGACACUAGUAGAAAACGGGGCAAAGGUCACAGGGCAGUUUUCACAUUAGCCCCGGUUCAGUCACGAACCGGGACUAAUGUGAGCAUUGGUCCCGGUUCGUGAGCCCAGGGGGCCGGCCGGGGCCUCGUGGGCAUUGGUCCCGGUUCGUAUGGACCCUUUGGUCCCGGUUGGUGGUACAAACCGGGACCAAUGGGCCACGCUCCUGGCCCACCACCCUUUAGUCCCGGUUCAUACCACAAACCGGGACUAAAGGGCUGGUCCUAGUUGCGGCCAGUGUUUAGUCCCACCUCGCCAACCGAAGGGGACUCACACCAGUUUAUAAGCCCGUCCCUCUCUGCCUUUUAAAGUGAAAAUAGAUGCCCUUAUACAGGGAAUUUGACCUAAAUUCAUAGUAAAUUUCAUAAAAAUUUAUUAUGAAUUUAGGUUGAAUUUUCUCUAUAAGCGCAUCUAUUUUCAUUUUUUUUAUUUACAAAAUAAAUAAACCUUAAUAAAAUAAAUAAAACUAAAUAAACCUUAAUAAAAUAAAAUAAAAUAAACUAUAGUAACUACAAUAAAUAAACCUUAAUAAAUUAAGUAAAAAUAGCAGCAGUAAAAUAAAUAAAAAUAGCAGCAGUAAAAUAAAUAAAAAUAAAAUGCGUCUGGAAGAGAUUGUCCGUUUUGUACACGAAGUGCAUCCAGUUUAUGCCGUAACCCUCUCAACUUUCUUGCACAUGCUAUGUGGAUGAAAUGAUGAUAUCAUGCCAACUUUCAACCUUUUCAGAGUUCAUUUGAAAUGCAUUUCAAUUUUAGGGUCUUAUAGCUCAAAAUAAUUAGUAAAUGCAUGAAAAAUAACAAAUGAAGUCAGAAAGGAUUGAAAAAUGAUGAUGUGGCUUUGAAUGGUGCAUUUUGAACACACAAAAAGUCAGGAGUUCAAAUAAGUUUUAAAAAAUGAAAUCCCUUUGUAACAGACGAGUUUCCGGAUGAAAUCCUGAUACUUUGAAAGAGAUUGUCCGUUUUGUACACGAAGUGCAUCCAGUUUAUGCCGUAACCCUGUCAACUUUCUUGCACAUGCUAUGUGGAUGAAAUGAUGAUAUCAUGCCAACUUUCAACCUUUUCAGAGUUCAUUUGAAAUGCUUUUCAAUUUUAGGGUCUUAUAGCUCAAAAUAAUUAGUAAAUGCAUGAAAAAUAACCAAAUGAAGUCAGAAAGGAUUGACAAAUGAUGAUGUGGCUUUGAAUGGUGCAUUUUGAACACAUAAAAAGUCAGGAGUUCACAUAAGUUUUAAAAAAUGAAAUCCCUUUGUAACAGACGAGUUUCCGGAUGAAAUCCUGAUACUUUGAAAGAGAUUGUCCGUUUUGUACACGAAGUGCAUCCAGUUUAUGCCGUAACCCUCUCAACUUUCUUGCACAUGCUAUGUGGAUGAAAUGAUGAUAUCAUGCCAACUUUCAACCUUUUCAGAGUUCAUUUGAAAUGCUUUUCAAUUUUAGGGUCUUAUAGCUCAAAAUAGUUAGUAAAUGCAUGAAAAAUAACAAAUGAAGUCAGAAAGGAUUGAAAAAUGAUGAUGUGGCUUUGAAUGGUGCAUUUUGAACACACACAAAGUCAGGAGUUCAAAUAAGUUUUAAAAAAUGAAAUCCCUUUGUAACAGACGAGUUUCCGGAUGAAAUCCUGAUACUUUGAAAGAGAUUGUCCGUUUUGUACACGAAGUGCAUCCAGUUUAUGCCGUAACCCUCUCAACUUUCUUGCACAUGCUAUGUGGAUGAAAUGAUGAUAUCAUGCCAAUUUUCAACCUUUUCAGAGUUCAUUUGAAAUGCUUUUCAAUUUUAGGGUCUUAUAGCUCAAAAUAAUUAGUAAAUGCAUGAAAAAUAACAAAUGAAGUCAGAAAGGAUUGACAAAGGAUAAUGUGGCUUUGAAUGGUGCAUUUUGAACACACAAAAAGUCAGGAGUUCAAAUAAGUUUUAAAAAAUGUAAUCCCUUUGUAACAGACGAGUUUCCGGAUAAAAUCCUGAUACUUUGAAAGAGAUUGUCCGUUUUGUAACAUGCCAUUGGUGGCACGAACCGGGACCAAUUCCACCCUUUGGUCCCUGUUGGUGCCACGAACCGGUACUAAUGAGGCUGUGGCCCCACGAGCACCUUUAGUACCUGUUCGUGGCAUGAACCAGUACUAGAGUUUCUUACUAGCUAAGCAGUUUUUUAGUCCCACCUCGCUAGCUGAGAGGCACUAGGAGCGGUUUAUAAGCCCUGAGUGUAGAGACAAUGAAGAAGAGGCGCAAUGCUCACGUUGCUUAGCUUCAAGCCUUGAGGAAUAAGGUAGACUGCAUCGAGCUAUGUGCAGUGCAGUCUACACUAUUCCGAAAGGCUUGAAGCAAAUCAACGCGCAUUGCGCCUCUUUUUUAUUUUUAAUCAUUAAAAGCAAAAAGAAUUUUCAUAAAGAACUUUUUUUGAUAGAAACUUUAAUAGCAGAAAGAAUUAUCAUAAAGUAAAAUAACUAAGUAAUUAGAAACAAAAUAAAAUAAAAUAAAUAAGUUUUUUGUUGUAAGUAGAAAUAAAACAAAAUAAAUAUAGCAAAAAAAAUAAAAAAACUAAAUACAGCAAAAAGAAUUUUCAUAAAGAACUAAUGGCACUAAUAGAAAGUUUAUAUGUUUUCUAAAACUAAUGGCACUAACAGACAGUUUAUAAUUUUGCUGACCUAAAAGCAAAAAGAAUUAAAAAAUAAAGCAAAAAACAAAAGAAAAUAAAUAAUGCAAAAAAUUUAAAAAAUGCCACCUAUUGGGCCACCACGGCGUGAAUACGACUAGAAACCCAACCUGGGCCAGGAUUCAGGCCCGCAGAAGGCCCAAUAGGCCAACAGACAGCACAGUGUGACAUUAGGCCCAUAAGCCUGCAUUUGAGAGGAGCUCGAGAGGGCAGCCGCAGUGGAGCUUAUAAACCACUCCGAGCCCCUCUCAACUAGCGAGGUGGGACUAAAACUUUUGGCCGCGGGCAGCGCAAGGCCUUUGGUCCCGGUUGGUGGCACCAACCGGGACCAAUGCCCCCCUUUAGUCCCGGUUGGUGCCACCAACCGGGACCAAAGGCCUCUGCUUCCCGCCCUUUGCGCUGGUGAAAAGAGGCCUUUAGUCCCGGUUGGUGGCANNNNNNNNNNNNNNNNNNNNNNNNNNNNNNNNNNNNNNNNNNNNNNNNNNNNNNNNNNNNNNNNNNNNNNNNNNNNNNNNNNNNNNNNNNNNNNNNNNNNNNNNNNNNNNNNNNNNNNNNNNNNNNNNNNNNNNNNNNNNNNNNNNNNNNNNNNNNNNNNNNNNNNNNNNNNNNNNNNNNNNNNNNNNNNNNNNNNNNNNNNNNNNNNNNNNNNNNNNNNNNNNNNNNNNNNNNNNNNNNNNNNNNNNNNNNNNNNNNNNNNNNNNNNNNNNNNNNNNNNNNNNNNNNNNNNNNNNNNNNNNNNNNNNNNNNNNNNNNNNNNNNNNNNNNNNNNNNNNNNNNNNNNNNNNNNNNNNNNNNNNNNNNNNNNNNNNNNNNNNNNNNNNNNNNNNNNNNNNNNNNNNNNNNNNNNNNNNNNNNNNNNNNNNNNNNNNNNNNNNNNNNNNNNNNNNNNNNNNNNNNNNNNNNNNNNNNNNNNNNNNNNNNNNNNNNNNNNNNNNNNNNNNNNNNNNNNNNNNNNNNNNNAUAUGCAAAUGUUUGUAUGUUCAUAUGCAAAGAAUGUAUCAAUUUUUUCAUAGAAUUUUUAUGAUUUUUUCUGUUGUAAUUUUGUUCAUAGAAUUAUUAUGAUUUUUUUUGUUCAUAGAAAUUGUGUAUGAUCAAAGUCAUUUAUGUAUGUUCAUAUUUAGAAGAAAAAGAAGGAGAGAAAAAAAGAAAAUAAGAAGGAGAAGAAGAAGAGAAGAAGAGAAGAAGAGGAGAGGAAGUAGAGGAGAAAUAAAUAAGAAGAUGAAAAAGAAGAAAAAAAAAGAGUAGAAGAAGAAGAAAUAGAGGAGAAGAAGAAGAAAUAGAAUAAUAUAUUAUUCUAUUUUUUCUUCUUCUUCUCUAUUCCUUCUUCUUCUCCUCUUUUUUUCUUUUUUUUCUUCGAUCUCCUCCUCUAUUCCUUUCUUCUUCUCCUCUUUUUUUGCGUCUUCUUCCUCUUCUUAUUUUUUAUCGGGUAUGUCGUUGUCGAUAUAUGUACCCCCCUCCCCGAUAACUUUUAGUAAGUACUACCUAGAAAGUGUUUAAUAGAAUUAGUUAGAAAAAUAAUAGAACUAGUUAAACUAGCUAGUUUAUUUUUAGUAAGUACUACUUUAUUCUAUUUAUAGUAAGGAAAUUAAUAGAACUAGUUUGUUUUUUUAGUUAAAGCAAUUAUUCCCGCAUCGACGUCGACGAUGCCUAUCCCGCAUCCUCGUCGUCGACUCGGCGGAGGAGGCCGGCUUGAUCAGAGGGGCCAUGUCCGGGACUGGGCUCCGCCGGGCUGGUUUUGGGAGGUGCUACCUUCCGGUGGGCGUAGGUUGGUGAGGAACCAGCCCGUCGUUGAUCCGAUCCUUGUUUGGUGGCGCUCGCGUGGGCCAGUGACGGUGCCGAGGCUUCCGGACACCGCGGAGGAGGUACGUCACCGUGUCAGCGAGGAGGACCAGCACGUCCGUCGCUACAUGGUUGCGUUGGAGGGCAGGUUCGACAGUACCUGGCAGGUUCUUCAGGGAUCUCACUGGAGCUAUGAUCCUGUGAUGGUUCCGUCCCUUUGGGUGUCCACCGCCCGCGCCGAUGUCCGUCGGGCGCUACUGUUCUAGCUGUACUAGCGAUGCUAUAUGUAUGAUAGUAUUCGAGGUGUAUUAGUGAUAAUAUUCGGCGAUGUACGGACGCAUGGAGAUGAUGUAGUUUUGCUUAUAAUUGAAUGCAUCCUAAUUUGAAUACUACUUUAUUUUGUGAUUUGAUUUUGCUUAUUGAAUGCUCAAAGUGGAAAACUACUCCGAUCCUACUUUGAAUGCUAAAAUUGGAGAGCACUAUGAUUAGUUGAUAGCUUAUAGGGUUUUGUUUUCGCAGAAAUCUAGGAGCCCCCCGGCCCCUCCAUCAUCCCCGCCGUGGUCCCCGUCACCGCCCCCUCCGACAUCGAGGUGAGACCAGCCAAAUCCUCUUUUAGAAAGAUAAUUAAACGAUAUUUCGGGUUGACUGUAAGUCUGUCGAGUCUCCACCAUAUAUGAGAGGACGAAGAAUCCCGACUGUGUUGUCGUGGGGGUAGCUUCUCCUUCGUUCCCGUGUGCUAGACAAUUUGGUGUAAUGCACUCGAGAACGAAAGGAGGAGCUACCAUCACCGACGGUCGCAAAUGUCAGAGAGGAAUCAGUGAGGGAGAGUUCCACCAUAUAUAUAUGAGAGCACGAAGAAUCCCGACUGUUGUCGUGGGGGUCGCUUCUCCUUUGUUCCCGUGUGCUAGCUAGACAUUUUGGUGUAAUGCACACGGGGACAAAGGGAGGAGCGACCAUCACCAACGGUCGAAUGUAUACACCACGUGAGCUGAGAGUUUUCAAGAAAAGACUCGACAAACCGAUAGUCAACCCGUGAUGAAUAAUAAUGAUCUAACUUAGGUUUUUUAGUACAUAUAUUUAAUUGUAGAUGUUUAAUAUUUGAAUUAUAUAUGAACAUAGGAAAUGUCGUACUCGGACGACGAAAGUCUCUCGGGGGAGUGCGACUGGUGCCACGACGACCGAGGUCAGUGCGACAGGCCUCACCUGGACGAAGAUCGGCGCUUCAGUAUUAAGCUGGAGGAGACGUUCGAUGUUGAAACGGUACGCAACGACGACAAGUGUUAUUUUUUCGUAAUUAAGCACGACUUCAACUAUUUCAACGUGUACUUUUCAUCUUUUACAAUUCAGCUAGCUUAUCCCAUGCCAUGCAAGACGCUACGUCUUGGAGAGGAUGGGUUUUGAAGACCAUGAAAGUAUGGAAACAAAGAAAAUUCACCUAAGGACCCAUCAUGAUAUAGAUUUUGAAGUAAAGCUGUAUAAUUCUGAGAGCGUAACCCAUUUUGGUUGCAAAAAUUGGGAAGCAUUUUGCAAGAUGUAUGGUUUUGAUGAGGGUAUGCUUGUCACCAUGGAUCUUGGUGAUCCUGACAUCGAGCAAGACAAUAUGGACAUUUGGGUCCUUGUUGAUACGCCUCCAAUUCUACCGCUAUGUGAGUUUCUCAAACAUAGUUAUUAGCUAAUUUAUAUUGUUCAUUUCAAAAUAGUUGACAGCUUAUUUUCAUUGACAACUUAUUUUGAUUGUUCAAACAAUAUGCGGAACAUGAUAGACAGAACCUACUACACCGAUGGCUCUGAGUUAACUUAUAAGGAGAAAACUCAUCUGGUCGGAUUUUGUACUGAUAUUGAGAAUUACAAUAUCUACAAUCAAACUCCUCAUCAUUAUGGUCCUCCAUACGUGCCACUAGUGCACGUGGUGAACUACGGUAGCUACUAUGGAGAUACCCUGGUAAGAUUUCUUACUAUUACGACAUCCGUGCAUAUUUUGCAUAGUUCUAAAGCUAGUGCAUUAUCAUUGCUAACUAUGAAGUUAUUACUAUGUUUUUCAACAGAUAAUCCCAGAGGAUUGUGUGCCUCAUUUGAUGUAUCAGAAUGGUAGGCUUGAUGUUUUGAAUAUACAACCAGGUCAUCCUACGAAUCUCAACUGUCCAUACCGGAUUUCUAAAAGAAGUGGAGACAUGCAAAUCAAAGAAUGGAAAAAAUGUAUGGACAGUCGCAAGGAGCUUCUUGGAAGCAAAAGGAAGCGAGGCGCAAGAAUUGGAGACAGGAUGAUCUCCAUUCUCCAUAAUGGAGAGUCAGUGUCUAUAUUGUUUUAUGCUAUUUUACCUUAAAGAGGGUAUUUCGGUCCUACCUAAUACUGAUGAUCAUGUGCUAAGAACAAUUAAGUAGGGUUGGUUCGAUGACUGUGAGGAUGAUGAUCGAUCGUAUGACUUGUUAUUAAUAACGAGUAGAAGUUGUAUGAUGAUGAUUAGUAGGACUUGUUAUUAUAUAUGAUGAUGCAUGAUGCGUGCAUGAAGAGUUAUUAUAUAUCAGCGGGUGAAAUGAACAUGGAUUGGAUUGAAGUGAAGGCAACAUGCAUGUGGUGCGUGUCGAAAGUAGUACAAUCCAAACUUGAUCAAGUCCGGAUAAGUAUUAGUUUCGACAUGCACCACAUGUUGCCUUCACUUCAAUCUAAGCCAUGUUUAGGCAUAGCAGUACGUAGCGUUGGUAAACCAAGCACGGAGAUAUAAGAGAGGACACUUCUCUCUAAUAGCUACCUAAUAACAACCUAAAUUAACCCCCCAAAACCCCCAAACCCCCCCCNNNNNNNNNNNNNNNNNNNNNNNNNNNNNNNNNNNNNNNNNNNNNNNNNNNNNNNNNNNNNNNNNNNNNNNNNNNNNNNNNNNNNNNNNNNNNNNNNNNNNNNNNNNNNNNNNNNNNNNNNNNNNNNNNNNNNNNNNNNNNNNNNNNNNNNNNNNNNNNNNNNNNNNNNNNNNNNNNNNNNNNNNNNNNNNNNNNNNNNNNNNNNNNNNNNNNNNNNNNNNNNNNNNNNNNNNNNNNNNNNNNNNNNNNNNNNNNNNNNNNNNNNNNNNNNNNNNNNACCAACCGGGACCAAAGGCCCUCCUGCCUGGGCUCCCCGCACCGGCCACGUGGACGGCCUUUAGUCCCGGUUCGUGUAAGAACCGGGACUAAAGGGCUAGGGCAUUAGUAACGACCCUUUAGUCCCGGUUCCUGAACCGGGACUAAAGGCCCUUAUGAACCGGGGUAAAAGCCCCUUUUCCUACUAGUGAGAGAAGAGGAGAAGAUUUACCCAAGCACAAGAGAGUGCUCGAAAGGAUGUGGAGCAUGCUUUCGGUGUUCUUCAAUAUUGAUGGGGCAUUAUUCGGUAUCCUGCUAGAAUUUGGAGCACCAAGAAGUUAUGGGAGAUGAUGAUUGCUUGUGUGAUCAUUCACAACAUGAUCGUAGAGCAUGAGCAUGAGAACGAAAUCUACUCCUCUUUCGAGCACUCUCCCCGACAUGAUAGGAGAGAAGAAUGGGAUUGAGACAGACGGGGAGAAGGACUUAGAUGAACAGCAAAAUCCAAAAAAAUAGUAAACUAACUCAAAAAAUUCUGAUUUUUUUGUCAACAAACAUUGACGAUUUUUCUACACACAUGCAAAUUUUCGCAAUGGAAUCACAUUUGUGGAUGCUUCAGCAAAAGAAACAAAAUCAAUGCUCCAAAAUGCUUUAAAAACAUUUUUUGGAGCAUCGAUUUUGUUUUUUUAUGGCACCUCCACAAAUUUGAUUUUUAAAACUCACAUUCAACUGCAAGAUUGAAAAACAAAAUUGAAAAAUAAAUAUGUGAACUCAUCCUCCAGAAGCUCCAGUGCAUAGCGGACGGCUAAAGUGUGCGGAGAAUGUCAAGAGAGGGCGGGGUAGACCGAAUUUGACAUGGGAGGAGUCCGCUAAGAGAGACCUGAAGGAUUGGAGUAUCACCAAAGAGCUAGCUAUGGACAGGGGUGCGUAGAAGCUUGCUAUCCAUGUGCCAAAGCCAUGAGUUGGUUGUGAGAUCUUAUAGAUUUCACCUCUAGCCGACCCCAACUUGUUUGGGACUAAAUGCUUUGUUGUUGUUGUUGUUGUUGUUGUGAGUGAGCAUAGCCGAGCAACAAGCAGGCGAGCACAAAAGCAUGCAGCCGAGCGACGAGCGGCCGAGCACAGUCGAGCAGCCUAAUGGUCCGGCCCAAGUGUCGCGCCAGUUUCUCGACCAGCGCUAAGGGUGUGUUUGGUAGCAUGUAUGGACCUAGCCUAGUUGUUCUUCUUUCAUCCAUGCUGAGUGUAGACAUGCUGAGUCCAUGCAGUUGCUCUUGUUUGGCAGUGAUGUAUGAACUGAGACAUGCUGAGCUGAUACUUUGUUUGGCAGCCUGCAUUUGUUUAUACAUGCUGAACAAUUUUUUUUGAAAAUUUAAAAUUCUAAACAUAUUUUUAAAAAUUGAACAUAUUUGAAAUUAUGAUUUUUUUAGAAAAAAUAAUCAAAUUUUGAAUAUUUUAUAAAAAUUAAAACAAAAUUUGAAUUUUUGAAUAUUUUUUGAAAAAAUACAAAAAAUGUUUUUUUAAUUCUGGACAUUUUUUGAAAAUUUAAACAAAUUGAAUUGCUGAACUUUUUUUUUUGAAAAUUUACACAAUUUUGAAAUUCUAAACAUUAAAAAAAAUGAAAUUCUGGAUUUUCUUAAAAAUUUGAACAAAAUUUGAAAUUCUGAACAUUUUUUAAAAAUUUAAACAUAUCUAGACGUGGUCUGGUGGGUGGAGACGAGGGUCAGGGCCAGCAUGGCUGCCUCCAUGCACCUUGUCUGGGGUACCCUGUGCAUGAGAUGGGCAUGGCUGAGGACCCUUUUAUGCAUCAGAUGGGCAUAGCUCAGGUGAGUCCAUACACCCUACCAAACAAGCAAAAGUGGGUCGGAUUGAAAACUUUUGCCCUCAUGCACCCUACCAAACACACCCUAAGGAGUUGUUUGGAUAUCGAGAAUUAGAUGCUAGAUUUUGGAAAACCAAUUUUAAGAUAAUUUUAGGGAAACCAGUUUUAAUUAGUCAUUCUUUUAAGAUAAGUAUAUACAAUUCCUUGAACAACAAAGAAGAGUAAAAUGGCCCUCCGGCGUGCGGCUGUUGAAGCCGUCAUCAUGGGCACCGAGGAGGUCCCGUUGCUUGCGCCUGGAGCAACACGUUGCCGUCGACGUUUUCGUAAUCCUCGCCAUGGGCGCUGAGGAGGCCGAUCUGCUCGAGUCGAGAACAACGCGUCGCCGUCGAUGGUGUCGCAACCAUCGCCAUGGAUAUUGAGGAGGUCGCGCCGAGAACAACAUGCCGCGUCCAUGGUGUUGCAGCCGUCACCAUGGGUGCCUACUGACGAGGUGGUCGUGCUGCUCGCGUUGAGAACAACACGCCGCCGUCGAUGGUGUCAGGUAGAUGGUGUCGCAGAGGUUGCUAUGGACGUCUGGAACAACAUGCCGAUGUAAGGUUCUAGAAUACUUUUUUUUAGGACGGGCUCUAGGAUACAUGACCAAAAUUCAAGAAAAUCACAUUCAUUUUGACCAAAACGCAUGAAAAUUUCUCCCUCGGCCGCACUGUUUCAACCCCUAAGGCCCUAAAACAUGAAGCUUUUUUUUUGGUUUUGAGCGAUAACACAUGAAGCUGCAAGGCCGAAAGUUGACGACAAAAGAUUCCAAUAAUAUGACAACAACGCAGCCCAGUGCCCACCCGCACGACAGCAAACCAAAAAUUGCAGCCCAUUCGCAUCGGCCACAUUUUCCCCUUUAUCCUGACAGACGACACAAAAAUAUCUCCGUCGCUGCCGCCGCCGCCGGCAUGCUCCGCCUGCGAGAAUCCAUUGUUUCCCAUCUCCUCUCUUCACCCUCCGCCCCUGCCAUAUCCCCACUCCGUCGCCUCCUCUCCGCUGCCGCGGCCGCCAUUUCUCCGAACCCCAGUGGAUUCGCCGUCGAGGACUACCUCGUCGAUAUCUGCGGCCUCACCCGACCUCAAGCCCUCAAGGCCUCCCCGAAGCUCUCCCACCUCAACUCCCCCGCCAACCCCAACGCCGUCCUCGCCUUCCUCUCCGGCCUAUCAUGUGUUCAGAUUUUAAGGGUCAUCUGGGAAGUGGGAUUUGCCGGCACUCCACCUUCAGAUACGUGGACAUGGGCCAAUGCAGCCUGCCAAGAUGGUGCUCAGUGAGAUCAAACUUCUUCCACCAAGAAGAGCAUGCGGCCUCAGAGCAUAAUUGGUUACUACUUGGUAGGUUACCGAGUUGUCUUGCCUAUCUCACAUAUAGUUGCCAAUAGUUGGCAAGUAUUGGCAAUGCCAACUUUUGGCUAGCCAAAUAUUCUCUGCUCACACUUUUUUGUUGUUGAGAAUUACUCCUCAAUUUAUCUGGUAGAUUUCCUUUUGUUAGUAGGAAAUCGAUCUAUUUUAAUGUGAUUUAGAUAUGCUUCUUCCAGUCAUUGGUUGAUUUCGUUACUGAAAUCUGCACUUCUCUUUGUGUCAUUGCUUCAUUCCGUCCAAUAGUUUGUAAACAACUGGAACAAUAUCAUGGAAAAGAUUAGUGUCCUGGUUAUAUUGUGCAUCUCUUUUAUGUGGUCCUGUUUUUUGCUUGCCGUCUUGUUUACUGAUUCUUUGUUAGUGCUCCUUUGCAUUGCAAUCUGGUGCUUCGGUUGUCAGAUGCCGCUGUUUGUGAUCUUGUAACAGAUUUCCGCGGUGUUGCUUAAUUUGCCCCUGGUGUUUUCUGUUGUUUCCAUACAGGUUAAAUAGGGAGUACGUACUUGUACAAAUGAAUUUACUGUUUUAAUCCGUUAAAAAAAACUGUUUUAAUUGCUGCCACAGUAAAGUUGCUGUGUAGGUAAUGGUCACAGCAGAUUUGAAGAGCAUAGGUUUUCUAUUUGCAUGAUCUUACUUGUAUAUAGUAGACCUGGAGAUAGACAGCCUUGGGCACGAAACUGGAGAGUGCCUUAAUACACACAAGCUAGUGAAUUCCACGGUCUUAAUUUUCAUCCGAAUUUUAAUCAGUGGUGUUGAUAUUUGAAGCUAGGCUCGGGCUUACUCAAAUGGUAGUGAGGUUCGGUGAUCCUUUACAUACAUUGCAUAAAUGCAGAAUGGUAGAUACACUGUUAUGGAUUUUUAGGAUUUCAACUGCUGUUUAUAUCCCUGAGUGGCUAAUUUCAAAUUCAAAUCGAGAUCCAGAUAGUUACCUGCUCAUAAGCUGCAGGUACUAAUUGCCAUCUUCAUACUGGGUCUGUUGAGUUGUGAGCUACUCCCUCCGUCCCAUAAUGUAAGACGUUUUUUGACGCUACACUAUGUGCCAGUUAUCUCUGAUUUUUUUCUGUAAUCAUCCAAUAUUUUUGCUCCGCCACCUUGCUUUACAUUUCCACUGCAGCAGUGACCAUCAGACCUCGCGGGCAGGAAAUUUCCAUGUGUUUUUGGCAUUGUGAAUGGUUUUGUUCUGAUAUGAAACGUGUAACCGUAGUCCUGAAAGUUUCUGAAAUUGUUGCUACUUUAACACUGUCUGUUUCUUGCGUUGCUAUUCUGAACUUUAUUAUUUCUUUGUAAAUGUGAUGCUCUUUCUGAACAUUUCCAAAGCAUUAGUCCGUGUUAAUUUGCUAAGGAGGUGUAGUAUAUUCAGGGGCGCAGCAAAGUUCCAAACUUAAAUGCAACAACACCCAGCAUCGAAACAUUCAGUGCCUCAACAAAUUCAGCUUAAUUAGUGUCGCACAUACAUUUACAAACUCUUACGCAGACUGAGAUAUGUAGUAUCCAUUGAAAAACAAAACUCCAGAAACUAAAUAAACAGAGGAAAUAAUAUAGUGAUAAUAAAUACACAAGGGAAAUGAUACUGAUGAAAACAUAAAUUAAGACAGAAAUCAAUCAAGUUAGAGACUGCAUUCUAACAGAAGGUUGUCUUGGGUGCACCAGGGCUGCGCUCUUGAAGGCAGACUCCACAUCAACAAGCACAUGUUGAAUUUUUUUGCUGGAGUCCAUGACGCUGUUGAUGAGACACAUAGGGAUGUCCUGGAGGCAGGGCAAACAUUCCAUGUCGGCGAAUUCCACGGUGAGCGUCCGUGCCUUGGGCAUAGCUCCUGUCUCGAAGCUCAGGCAUGCUGUGACAUCUUCAUCAAAUCGGAACUCAAAGUACUCCAAAACUAGGAACAAUCCCGUGCCGACCACCACUUUUUCUUGGGAGACAUCCAACACGUGGAUCCUGGCAUUGACCAUGAAGGGAAGCUCUCCAAGAAAAUGAACCUCAUCACUCGAAAGGUGCAAGACACACAGAUCGAGGACUCUGAGACAACACUUAGCUCAUGAAUCCAUUUGGGAACUCUAUCGAACUUCCAUUUUGCUAGAUUGAGUACCUCGAGAUGCGGCGGCGGAUCGGGCAAUGACUCCAGCUGCCUAGCAUUGUCAUAACAUUCACGAUGGCAAUCGAGGCAGAGGUGUUUGAUGUCUUGGAGCGUUCCAAUGGAGGAGACAAAAGCAUCGACUUGUUCAACCAUCCAAUGGUAAACGUCAACACCUUCAGAUUGGUCAACUCACUGAAAUCUUCGGCAUGUCCCAACAAUGCAGGGUGCAGAGUGAUUUCAUCUUCUGGACCCCUUUAGGCAGCGUUGUACCAAUUGGAAGUUCUAGAUGAAAUAGGUUGGCCAAGCGAGUUAUAUCUGAAGGAAAACUUUGUGCAGAUCGACAAACCAACUCCAGAGUUUCCAAAUGCACAAGUCCUUGGAUUUCAGCAGGGAGCGCUACAUGUGUUAAUCUGGCUAAAAUCUUCAAAAAUACCUUAGAAGAAACAAAUGGCCAAUUGCAGUGAGGUCAACUGUCGUAUACCACUGAUCUAGAAAUUCAAACAAAAGCACUAGUAGGUACUUGAACUGUGAAAGAUGAGGUAUGUACAUGGACUCCCUGAACCAUGCACAUGACCGAACUUGUGAAAUGCUAGUAGCAAGGGUCUUUGAUGUUGCACCACAUUCGAUGCCGACUGGUGUGGCGCCUCUCCACUCCGCGCAACCGAAUUCGACGGUGAGCGUCUCUACCUUGGGCAUAGCUCCUGCCUCGAAGCUCAGGCAUGAUGUGACAUCUUCAUCAAAUCGGAACUCAAAGUACUCCAAAACUGGGAACAACCCCGUGUCGACCAUCACUUUUUCUUGGGAGACAUCCAACAUGUGGAUCCUGGCAUCGGCCAUGACGGGAAGCUCUCGAAGAAAACCCAUAUUGACCCCUAUACACACACGGAUAAUUAUUCAAGAGAGCCUCCAGUUGUCGUGUGCUAUUCCUGUUGCUUCACGAUAUAUUACAAACAACCGAGGUGAGAUGUAUCGGCAUCCCCGUGGAUCAACAACUUGUCCACUAUGCCAGUUACCUCGUUACCAGUUUUGUUCUCUUUUCUCAUUUCCGUGUUCUGGCAUCCCUGUGAUCAAAUCACAUUAUGUCCGGCCAGGCAAUGAUGGAUACUAUAACACCGAGAGGGCCCUAAGAAUAUCUCUCCAUCAUCGGAGAAGCAAAUCCCAAUCUUGAGCUAUCUUGUUCCUUGUCAUACCUUUUCGUGAACCCGUAAGCCGUCGUAAUAGCCACCCAGUUACGGAUGACGUUUAACAAACCCCAAUGUUCACGAAGCAAGAACGAAGGAAUUCGACACUCUCAUGGUCUAAGGAAUUAUGCAAACAUUAAUUUUUUCUGUGUUAUUAACCAUUUAUUUGUGACCAAUGUAUCUCAUAGCAUAACAUCAAUUCGGGUCGAUUCAACACACGUGUUCUCCUAACAUUGUGCCCUCAAAAUUGCCGGCAUAGUCAUGCCCAUGAUCAGGAAAACAUGAUCAUCAUGCAAUACUUGAGCUAGUCUUAGAGGCAUGACUAGGAAUACAUUUUACCGUUUUAUUAUACCACACGUGCAUAUGAGUUUCCCUCCAAGCCUCGUUGAUAUUGCAAACUCGAGAAUCAUUGUAGUUAUAGCAUGGAACAUAAACAUCCAUUACAAACUUGAAGAUACAAAAUAAGUGUUGUUACUACCUCAAGGGCAUAUCUUCUACAGACUCCCACUUGCACUAGAGUCAUAAUCCAGUUACAUGGCUUCCCGAAUACCAAUGACUAUCUGGUGCUGCUCAUGCUUUGCUCGUGGUAGAGGCUUUGUCAUCGGGUCUGAUACAUUCAGAUCCGUGUGAACUUUGCGUACUUUCACUAAACCUGUUUUCGACAUGAUGUCGAAUGAGUUUAUAUUUGCGUUUAAUAUGUCUUGUCUUAUGGUGCGAAGAUGGCUCCCCUAGCCCGAGCCACGGUGACACUAUUAUCACAAUAGAUCUCCACCGGGUCCAGCGCACUUGGAACCACACCAAGGUAUUCAAGAAACUGCUUGAUCCAAACCGCCUCAUUGGAGGCUUCUGAAGCUACAACAUAUUCUGCUUCCGUCGUAGAAUCCGUCACAGUCUUUUGUUUGGAACUUUUCCAAUCAACUACACCACUCAAUAUGAAAACAUAGCCUAAUUGAGAUUUGAAGUCAUAUGGGUCAGUCAUGAAGCCUGCAUCAGUGUAACCACUUACAACGAGCUCUUCAUCACCUCGGUACACAAGGAGUAAAUCAUUGGUCCUUCUGAGGUACUUCAGAAUAUUUUUGACUGCGGCCCAGUGUUCCAAUCCUGGAUCACUUUGGUACCGGCUGCUAAGACUUAGCGCAGGAAACAUCUGGUCUUGUACAUAGCAUGGCAUACAUAAUGGAACCAACUACCGAAUCAUAUGGAACAUCAUUCAUUUGUACUCGCUCAUCGAGAGUCUGAGGACACUGAUUUUUGCAAAGCACUGUGCUAGGUGACAUGGGGGGUAGGCCUUUCCGUACCUCUUAUGUUUAAGGUCCCUAAGGUGGUCAAUCAGUGGCGGAUCUUAGUAGAAGUCUGAGGGGGCCGUGCCACCCCCGCCCCCAGCCUUAGGCAAAAAAUUGAAGAAAAUUUACUAUGCAGGGCUUAGAUAAGGAAAAAGUCAAUUAUUUACCCUGCUAAUUGUUCAUAUUUUGGCUUUGGCACCCUAAGAUUGCUAUCUAGCUCUGCCACUGAGGUCAAUAAUGUCUUGUAGCUCGUGAGCAUGAGAAGAAUCCGCCAUCUGAAGAUUUAAUUCCAGGCCACAGAGAAGGUUCUGCAAAUCUGGUCUUUGGGUGACUGAAAUAAAUGUCUCACAGUAAAACUAUUCUCUAAUCUUAUCAUACACUUGUUUGGCAAGCGUAGUUUUACCCAAGCCUCCAGAACCCAAGAUGGAAACCAGUUAGUUUCUUCUGUGAAUCUGUCAACCAACUGACAAGCUCUUCUCUCGGGCCAUCAAUACCGACGAGACCUACCUGCUUGAAGAUCGUUGACACCUGAGGAUCCGCGACCACAUUGCCAUGACUCGAAUUGAUGCAAUUAUCAAUCUUGUAACGCUCGCGCUGAGCAUUUGCCUCCACCACAAGAACCUUGAGCUCCUCGAUCCGAUUGACAAUCUGAUGACGCCUCCCCAACCUCUUGAGACGUUGAGACAUCUUCGUGACAAAACCUUUCUUUACAUGGGCACCCUCAUUGUGAUGAGGGAAGUCAUUGAUGCAAUUCUCCAUAUCAUAAGACAUCUCCCUGACAUGGUCCCUCCAGUUCUUGGCCGAGGGACCGAGCUCAUCCAUUAGCUCCAUUUUGUCAAGGAGAGCUUUCAUGGUGCAGAGCUCAUCCUUGAAGAAGGUGUUGGGGAACGUAGUAAUUUCCAAAAAUUUCCUACGCACACACAGGAUCAUGGUGAUGCAUAGCAACGAGAGGGGAGAGUGUUGUCCACGUACCCUCGUAGACCGAAAGCGGAAGCGUUAGCACAACGCGGUUGAUGUAGUCGUACGUCUUCACGAUCCGACCGAUCAAUUACCGAACGCACGGCACCUCCGAGUUCAGCACACGUUCAGCUCGAUGACGUCCCUCGAACUCCGAUCCAGCCGAGCUUUGAGGGAGAGUUUCGUCAGCAUGACGGCGUGGUGACGAUGUUGAUGUUCUACCGACGCAGGGCUUCGCCUAAGCACCGCUACGAUAUUAUCGAGGUGGAUUCUGGUGGAGGGGGGCACCGCACACGGCUAAGAGAUCAAUGAUCAAUUGUUGUCCCUCCAAGGGGUGCCCCCCUCCCCGUAUAUAAAGGAGUGGAGGAGGGGGAGGGCCGGCCCUCUCUAUGGCGCGCCCUAGGAGGAGUCCUACUCCCACCGGGAGUAGGAUUCCCCCCCUUCCAAGUAGUAGGAGUAGGAGUCAAGGAAAGGGGAGAGAGAAGAGAAGGAAGGAGGGGGCGCAGCCCCUCCCCCUAGUCCAAUUCGAACUAGGCCUUGGGGGCGCGCAGCCUCUACUCUCUCUUUCCCCUAAAGCCCAAUAAGGCCCAUAUACUCCCCGGCGAAUUCCCGUAACUCUCCGGUACUCCGAAAAAUACCCGAAUCACUCGGAACCUUUCCUAUGUCUGAAUAUAGUCGUCCAAUAUAUCAAUCCUUACGUCUCGACCAUUUCGAGACUCCUCGUCAUGUCCCCGAUCUCACCCGGGACUCCGAACUACCUUCGGUAUAUCAAAACACAUAAACUCAUAAUAUAACCGUCAUCGAACUUUAAUCGUGCGGACCCUACGGGUUCGAGAACAAUGUAGACAUGACCGAGACACGUCUCCGGUCAAUAACCAAUAGCGGAACCUGGAUGCUCAUAUUGGCUCCCACAUAUUCUACGAAGAUCUUUAUCGGUCAAACCGCAUAACAACAUACGUUGUUCCCUUUGUCAUCGGUAUGUUACUUGCCCGAGAUUCGAUCGUCGGUAUCUCAAUACCUAGUUCAAUCUCGUUACCGGCAAGUGUCUUUACUCGUUUCGUAAUACAUCAUCCCGCAACUAACUCAUUAGUUACAAUGCUUGCAAGGCUUAUAGUGAUGUGCAUUACCGAGUGGCCCAGAGAUACCUCUCCGACAAUCGGAGUGACAAAUCCUAAUCUCGAAAUACGCCAGCCCAACAAGUACCUUCGGAGACACCUAUAGAGCAACUUUAUAAUCACCCAGUUACGUUGUGAUGUUUGGUAGCACACAAAGUGUUCCUUCGGUAAACGAGAGUUGCAUAAUCUCAUAGUCAUAGGAACAUGUAUAAGUCAUGAAGAAAGCAAUAGCAACAUACUAAACGAUCGAGUGCUAAGCUAACGGAAUGGGUCAAGUCAAUCACAUCAUUCUCCUAAUGAUGUGAUCCCAUUAAUCAAAUGACAACUCAUGUCUAUGGUUAGAAACUUUAUCAUCUUUGAUUAAUGAGCUAGUCAAGUAGAGGCAUACUAGUGACACUAUAUUUGUCUAUGUAUUCACACAUGUAUUAUGUUUUCGGUUAAUACAAUUCUAGCAUGAAUAAUAAACAUUUAUCAUGAAAUAAGGAAAUAAAUAAUAACUUUAUUAUUGCCUCUAGGGCAUAUUUCCUUCAGUCUCCCACUUGCACUAGAGUCAAUAAUCUAUUUCACAUCGCCAUGUGAUUUAACACCAAUAGUUCACAUCACCAUGUGAUUAACACCCAUAGUUCACAUCGUCAUGUGACCAACACCCAAAGGGUUUAUUAGAGUCAAUAAUCUAGUUCACAUUGCUAUGUGAUUAACACCCAAAGAGUACUAAGGUGUGAUCAUGUUUUGCUUGUGAGAGAAGUUUAGUCAACGGGUCUGCCAUAUUCAGAUCCGUAUGUAUUUUGCAAAUUUCUAUGUCAACAAUGCUCUGCACGGAGCUACUCUAGCUAAUUGCUCCCACUUUCAAUAUGCAUCCAGAUUGAGAUUUAGAGUCAUCUGGAUCAGUGUCAAAACUUGCAUCGACGUAACCCUUUACGACGAACCUUUUUUCACCUCCAUAAUCGAGAAACAUAUCCUUAUUCCACUAAGGAUAAUUUUGACCGUUGUCCAGUGAUCUACUCCUAGAUCACUAUUGUACUCUCUUGCCAAAAUCAGUGUAGGGUAUACAAUAGAUCUGGUUCACAGCAUGGCAUACUUUAUAGUACCUAUGGCUGAGGCAUAGGGAAUGACUUUCAUUCUCUUUCUAUCUUCUGCCGUGGUCGGGCUUUGAGUCUUACUCAAUUUCACACCUUGUAACACAGGCAAGAACUCUUUCUUUAACUGUUCCAUUUUGAACUACUUCAAAAUCUUGUCAAGGUAUGUACUCAUUGAAAAAACUUAUCAAGCGUCUUGAUCUAUCUCUAUAGAUCUUGAUGCUCAAUAUGUAAGCAGCUUCACCGAGGCCUUUCUUUGAAAAACUCCUUUCAAACACUCAUUUAUGCUUUGCAGAAUAAUUCAACAUUAUUUCCGAUCAACAAUAUGUCAUUCACAUAUACUUACCAGAAAUGUUGUAGUGCUCCCACUCACUUUCUUGUAAAUACAGGCUUCACCACAAGUCUGUAUAAAACUAUAUGCUUUAAUCAACUCAUCAAAGCGUAUAUUCCAACUCUGAGAUGCUUGCACCAGUCCAAAGAUGGAUCGCUGGAGCUUGCACAUUUUGUUAGCACCUUUAGGAUUGACAAAACCUUCUAGUUGCAUCAUAUACAACUCUUCUUUAAUAAAUCCAUUAAGGAAUGCAGUUUUGUUUAUCCAUUUGUCAGAUUUCAUAAAAUGCGGCAAUUGCUAACAUGAUUCGGACAGACUUAAGCAUAAAUACAAGUGAGAAACUCUCAUCGUAGUCAAUACCUUGAACUUGUCGAAAACCUUUUGCGACAAUUCUAGCUUUGUAGAUAGUAACACUACUAUCAGCGUCCGUCUUCCCCUUGAAGAUCCAUUUAAUCUCAAUGGCUCGCCUAUCAUUGGGCAAGUCAAUCAAAGUCCAUACUUUGUUCUCAUACAUGGAUCCCAUCUCAGAUUUCAUGGCCUCAAGCCAUUUUGCGGAAUCUGGGCUCAUCAUCGCUUCCUCAUAGUUCGUAGGUUCGUCAUGGUCAAGUAACAUGACCUCGAGAACAGGAUUACCGUACCACUCUGGUGCGGAUCUUACUCUAGUUGACCUACGAGGUUCGGUAGUAACUUGAUUUGAAGUUUCAUGAUCAUCAUCAUUAGCUUCCUCACUAAUUGGUGUAGGUGUCACAGGAACCAGUUUCUGUGAUGAACUACUUUCCAAUAAGGGAGCAGGUACAGUUACCUCAUCAAGUUCUACUUUCCUCCCACUCACUUCUUUCGAGAGAAACUCCUUCUCUAGAAAGGAUCCAUUCUCAGCAACGAAUAUCUUGCCUUCGGAUCUGUGAUAGAAGGUGUACCCAAUUGUCUCCUUUGGGUAUCAUAUGAAGACACAAUUCUCCGAUUUGGGUUUGAGCUUAUCAGGAUGAAAACUUUUUCACAUAAGCAUCGGAACCCCAAACUUUAAGAAACGACAGCUUAGGUUUCUUGCUAAACCAUAGUUCAUACGGUGUCGUCUCAAUGGAUUUAGAUGGUGCCCCUUUUUUAUGUGAAUGCAGCUGUCUCUAAUGCAUAACCCCAAAACUAUAGUGGUAAAUCGGUAAGAAACAUCAUAGAUUGCACUAUAUCCAAUAAAGUACGGUUAUGACGUUCGGACACACCAUUAUGCUGCGGUGUUCCAGGUGGCAAGAAUUUGUGAAACUAUUCCACAUUGUUUUAAUUGAAGACCAAACUCGUAACUCAAAUAUUUGUCUCCACGAUCAGAUCGUAGAAACCUUAUUUACUUGUCACGAUGAUUUUCCACUUCACUCUAAAGUUCUUUGAACUUUUCAAAUGUUUCGGACUUAUGUUUCAUCAAGUAGAUAUACCCAUAUCUGCUCAAAUCAUCUGUGAAGGUCAGAAAAUAACUAUACCCGCCGCGAGCCUCAACACUCAUCGGACCACAUACAUCAGUAUGUAUGAUUUCCAACAAAUCUGUUGCUUGCUCCAUUGUUCCGGAGAACGGCGUUUUAGUCAUCUUGCCCAAGAGGCAUGGUUCGCAAGCAUCAAGUGAUUCCAAAAGCCCAUCAGCAUGGAGUUUCUUCAUGCGUUUUACACCAAUAUGACCUAAAUGGCAGUGCCACAAAUAAGUUGCACUAUCAUUAUUAACUUUGCAUCUUUUUGGCUUCAAUAUUAUGAAUAUGUGUAUCACUACGAUCGAGAUCCAACAAACCAUUUUCGUUGGUGUGUAUGACCAUAGAAGGUUCUAUUCAUGUAAACAGAACAACAAUUGUUCUCUAACUUAAAUGAAUAACCGUAUUGCAAUAAACAUGAUCAAAUCAUAUUUAUGCUCAACGCAAACAUCAAAUAACACUUAUUUAGGUUCAACACUAAUCCCUAAAGUAUAGGGAGUGUGCGAUGAUGAUCAUAUCAAUCUUGGAACCACUUCCAACACACAUCGUCACUUCACCCUUAACUAGUCUCUGUUCAUUCUGUUACUCCUGUUUCGAGUUACUAAUUUUUAGCAACCGAACAAGUAUCAAAUACCCAGGGGCUACUAUAAACACUAGUAAGGUACACAUCAAUAACAUGUAUAUCAAAUAUAUCUUGUUCACUUUGCCAUCCUUCUUAUCCGCCAAAUACUUGGGGUGGUUCCGCUUCUAGUGACUAGUCCCUUUGCAGUAGAAGCACUUAGUUUCAGGCUUAGGUCCAGACUUGGGCUUCUUUACUUAAGCAGCAACUUGCUUGCCGUUCUUCUUGAAGUUCUCAUUCUUCCCUUUGUCCUUUCUCUUGAAACUAGUGGUCUUGUCAACCAUCAACACUUGAUGUUUUUCUUAAUUUCUACCUUCGCCGAUUUUAGCAUCGCGAAGAGCUUGGGAAUUGUUUUCGUCAUCCCUUGCAUAUUAUAGUUCUUCACGAAGUUCUACUAACUUGGUGAUGGUGACUAGAGAAUUCUGUCAAUCACUAUUUUAUCUGGAAGAUUAACUCCCACUUGAUUCAAGCGAUUGUAGUACCCAGACAAUCUGAGCACAUGCUCACUGCUUGAGCUAUUCUCCUCCAUAUUUUAGCUAUAGAACUUGUUGGAGACUUCAUAUCUCUCAACUCGGGUAUUUGCUUGAAAUAUUAACUUCAACUCCUGGAACAUCUCAUAUGGUCCAUGACGUUCAAAACGUCUUUGAAGUCCCGAUUCUAAGCCGUUAAGCAUGGUGCACUAAACUAUCAAGUAGUCAUCAUAUUUAGCUAGCCAAACGUUCAUAACGUCUGCAUCUGCUCCUGCAAUAGGUCUGUCACCUAGCGGUGCAUCAAGGACAUAAUUCUUCUGUGCAGCAAUGAGGAUAAUCCUCAGAUCACGGAUCCAAUCCGCAUCAUUGCUACUAACAUCUUUCAACUCAGUUUUCUCUAGGAACAUAUCAAAAUAAAACAGGGGAGCUAAACGCGAGCUAUUGAUCUACAACAUAGAUAUGCUAAUACUACCAAGAAUAAGUUCAUGAUAAAUUUAAGUUCAAUCAAUCAUAUUACUUAAGAACUCCCACUUAGAUAGACAUCCCUCUAAUCCUCUAAGUGAUCACGUGAUCCAAAUCAACUAAACCAUGUCCAAUCAUCACGUGAGAUGGAGUAGUUUCAAUGGUGAACAUCACUAUGUUGAUCAUAUCUACUAUAUGAUUCACGCUCGACCUUUCGGUCUCAGUGUUCCGAGGCCAUAUCUGUUAUAUGCUAGGCUCGUCAAGUUUAACCUGAGUAUUCCGCGUGUGCAACUGUUUUGCACCCGUUGUAUUUGAACGUAGAGCCUAUCACACCCGAUCAUCACGUGGUGUCUCAGCACGAAGAACUUUCGCAACGGUGCAUACUCAGGGAGAACACUUAUACCUUGAUAAUUUAGUGAGAGAUCAUCUUAUAAUGCUACCGUCAAUCAAAGCAAGAUAAGAUGCAUAAAAUAUAAACAUCACAUGCAAUCAAUAUAAGUGAUAUGAUAUGGCCAUCAUCUUCUUGUGCUUGUGAUCUCCAUCUCCGAAGCACCGUCAUGAUCACCAUCGUCACCGGCGCGACACCUUGAUCUCCAUCGUAGCAUCGUUUUCGUCUCGCCAACUUAUGCUUCUACGACUAUCGCUACCGCUUAGUGAUAAAGUAAAGCAUUACAGGGCGUUUGCAUUGCAUACAAUAAAGCGACAACCAUAUGGCUCCUGCCAAUUGCCGAUAACUCGGUUACAAAACAUGAUCAUAUCAUACAAUAAAAUGUAGCAUCAUGCCUUGACCAUAUCACAUCACAACAUGCCCUGCAAAAACAAGUUAGACGUCCUUUACUUUGUUGUUGCAAGUUUUACGUGGCUGCUACAGGCUGAGCAAGAACCGUUCUUACCUACGCAUCAAAACCACAACGAUAGUUUGUCAAGUUGGUGCUGUUUUAACCUUCGCAAGGACCGGGCGUAGCCACACUCGGUUCAACUAAAGUUGGAGAAACUGACAUCCGCUAGUCACCUGUGUGCAUAGCACGGCGGUAAACCAGUCUCGCGUAAGCGUACGCGUAAUGUCGGUCCGGGCCGCUUCAUCCAACAAUACCGCCGAACCAAAAUAUGACAUGCUGGUAAGCAGUAUGACUUGUAUCGCCCACAACUCACUUGUGUUCUACUCGUGCAUAUGUCAUCUACGCAUAAAGCCUGGCUCUGAUGCCACUAUUGGGGAACGUAUUAAUUUCAAAAAAUUUCCUACGCACACACAGGAUCAUGGUGAUGCAUAGCAACGAGAGGGGAGAAUGUUGUGCAUGUACCCUUGUAGACCAAAAGCGGAAGCGUUAGCACAACGCGGUUGAUGUAGUCGUACGUCUUCACGAUCCGACCGAUCAAUUACCGAACGCACGGCACCUCCGAGUUCAGCACACGUUCAGCUCGAUGACGUCCCUCGAACUCCGAUCCAGCCGAGCUUUGAGGGAGAGUUUCGUCAGCACGACGGCGUGGUGAUGAUGAUGAUGUUCUACCGACGCAGGGCUUCGCCUAAGCACCGCUACGAUAUUAUCGAGGUGGAUUCUGGUGGAGGGGGGCACCGCGCACGGCUAAGAGAUCAAUGAUCAAUUGUUGUCCCUCCAAGGGGUGCCCCCCUCCCCGUAUAUAAAGGAGUGGAGGAGGGGGAGGGCCGGCCCUCUCUAUGGCGCGCCCUAGGAGGAGUCCUACUCCCACCGGGAGUAGGAUUCCCCCCUUCCAAGUAGUAGGAGUAGGAGUCAAGGAAAGAGGAGAGAGAAGAGAAGGAAGGAGGGGGCGCAGCCCCUCCCCCUAGUCCAAUUCGGACUAGGCCUUGGGGGGCGCGCAGCCUCUCCUCUCUCUUUCCCCUAAAGCCCAAUAAGGCCCAUAUACUCCCCGGCGAAUUCCCGUAACUCUCCGGUACUCCGAAAAAUACCCGAAUCACUCGGAACCUUUCCUAUGUCUGAAUAUAGUCGUCCAAUAUAUCAAUCUUUACGUCUCGACCAUUUCGAGACUCCUCGUCAUGUCCCCGAUCUCACCCGGGACUCCGAACUACCUUCGGUAUAUCAAAACACAUAAACUCAUAAUAUAACCGUCAUCGAACUUUAAGCGUGCGGACCCUACGGGUUCGAGAACAAUGUAGACAUGACCGAGACACGUCUCCGGUCAAUAACCAAUAGCGGAACCUGGAUGCUCAUAUUGGCUCCCACAUAUUCUAUGAAGAUCUUUAUCGAUCAAACCGCAUAACAACAUACGUUGUUCCCUUUGUCAUCGGUAUGUUACUUGCCCGAGAUUCGAUCGUUGGUAUCUCAAUACCUAGUUCAAUCUCGUUACCGGCAAGUCUCUUUACUCGUUUUGUAAUACACCAUCCCGCAACUAACUCAUUAGUUACAAUGCUUGCAAGGCUUAUAGUGAUGUGCAUUACCGAGUGGGCCCAGAGAUACCUCUCCGACAAUCGGAGUGACAAAUCCUAAUCUCGAAAUACGCCAACCCAACAAGUACCUUCGGAGACACCUGUAGAGCACCUUUAUAAUCACCCAGUUACGUUUUGACGUUUGGUAGCACACAAAGUGUUCCUCCGGUAAACGGGAGUUGCAUAAUCUCAUAGUCAUAGGAAUAUGUAUAAGUCAUGAAGAAAGCAAUAGCAACAUACUAAACGAUCGAGUGCUAAGCUAACGGAAUGGGUCAAGUCAAUCACAUCAUUCUCCUAAUGAUGUGAUCCCAUUAAUCAAAUGACAACUCAUGUCUAUGGUUAGAAACUUUAUCAUCUUUGAUUAAUGAGCUAGUCAAGUAGAGGCAUACUAGUGACACUAUAUUUGUCUAUGUAUUCACACAUGUAUUAUGUUUCCGGUUAAUACAAUUCUAGCAUGAAUAAUAAACAUUUAUCAUGAAAUAACGAAAUAAAUAAUAACUUUAUUAUUGCCUCUAGGGCAUAUUUCCUUCAGAAGGAGACCUGUUUCCUCACUCCCGUGAGCUUCUUGUACUCCUCGCCAAGCAGCGUUGUGAGCUAGCUAAGGAGAGGGUUCAUCAUUCUGGUCCUCGCACUUGCUGCCAUCCCGAUUGAGGAGGCUGGUGAGCUAGCUAUUUCUGUGUCGCAAGGCAAGUAAGCUGGGCUGGCAAAGAAAAGCUUAGUGUGGGAUGGUAUUAUCUAUACUCGGAGCUACCCCUACUAUAGGCUUAAAAAUUGUUUAACUGAUAUCAGUACUUCUAUAGAUUCAUGCCAAGAUUUGAAUACUCUAACCAUGCAUUGGAAAGCAUAUCUAAGCCAUUGGGUUCAAGUGUAUAACUUUUUCUUUUUCUUUUGAGUGGACCUCGUACGUUCUCGUGGCCAAAUGUAUAACAUGAUGCCAUAGCAGCAUAUGACACAAAGCGAGACCCUUUGCAUAGGAAUCUUAGCUAUUUUACAAAACAAAAUCAAGAACAACAACAACAAUAUGGAUGCGCUGAUUGCGGUGCCUGGCGCGAGUGCCUUUGUCAUGAAGGUACUCGAGGCCUGAUGAUUUUCAUCAUGAUGGAAGAUGCUGAACCUUCUCGACCAAACGUUGAAGGCUUUCCAAUAUGGUUGGAAUGAUUUUUUUGAGGGGGUGGGGGUGGGGGGUCCUUACAAAAACACCCUUACAGAAAUCGAGAAAUUCAUCUUACAUCCACCGACGCCGCCUCUGGCCUGAAGCAAACUUGUUGAAACCCGAGAGCUUCUAGAAACAGUGGCCAGAGCAAACCAAAAGAUGCUGGCGACCGUGUUUUCCGGAGAAAAAAUGUCGUGGAUUUAUUUCAGGCUCUCCGGCGUUAUUUUCAUUUUUUCAGUGGUUUGGCGUGCCUGCCAACUAUGAGAUGCGUAUAACGACUUUAUCAAUAUCAUGAUCUGCCAACUCAAUCUUUCUGAAGUACUCAUAGAGAUAGGGUUGUGUGCGCAUGUUCAUAAGGAUGAGUGUGUGUGCGUGUUGUGACCAGGCCGGUAUUGUGUUGUAAAGAUAAGAAUUCUUUAAGUACAAAGAAGGAGAAAAUCACUCCGUGAGAGAAGGGAGAGAAACUCCUUUCUUUUAACCUAUGAGAGGAAAAACUUAUUUAUAUUUUUUGAGGGGUAUAAAGCCAACUUUAAUUGAUCAAACGCCGCAGAACGUGGAAUACUUCUAUGAUCAUGGGGUUGACCUUGCUACACGUGGCGCCCCCAACCUAACGAAUGCGAAAGUUUGGCUAGACUAUGUGAUUUAUUGUUCAAAUCACAACCUUCGAAUAUAAUUUACAAUUAAAAAUUGAUGCUUGCAGUUGUAUCUCGCUCAUAAUGGGACCGUAACGUCCUUGAAUUUCCCUUGCUGAUAUGUCCCACUAUUUGCUUUGAAUCAGAAGCAACAAUAGUCGUUGAAGAAGAAGAAAAUAUUCCGCUAUGAAUAAGGCCUCCCUACAAUUGACCGCCUCGAGUGUUGUCAAACUGUUCUCUAAUCUUAUCAUACACUUGUUUGGCAAGUGUAGUUUUAUCCAACCCUCCUGAACCCAAGAUGAAAACCACUUAGUUUCUUCUGUGAAUCUGUCAACCAACUGACAAGCUCUUCUCUCGGGCCAUCAAUACUGAUGAGACCUACCUGCUUGAAGAUCGCUGACACCCGGGGAUCUGCAACCACAUUGCCAUGACUCGAAUUGAUGCAAUUAUCAAUUGUACCGCUCACGCCGAGCAUUUGCCUCCACCACAAGAACCUUGAGCUCCUUGUACCGGUUGGCAAUCUGAUGACGCCUCCCCAACCUCUUGAGACGUUGAGACAUCUUCCUGACAAAAAUUUUCUUUACAUGGGCACCCUCAAUGCGAUGAAUGAAGUCAUUGAUGCAAUUCUCCACAUCAUAGGACAUCUCCCUGACAUGGUCCCUCCAGUCCUUGGCCGAGGGAUUGAGCUCAUCCAUUAGCUCCAUCAUGUCAAGGAGAGCUUUCAUGGCGCUGAGCGCAUCCUUGAGGAAGGAGACUUGCUUCCUCACUCCCGUGAGCUUCUUGUACUCCUCGCCAAGCAGCGUUGUGAGCUUGCUGAGGAGAGGGUUCAUCACUCUGGUCGUCACACUCGCUUCCAACCCGAUUGAGGAGGCUGGUGAGCUAGCUAUUUCUGUAUCACAAGGCAAGUAAGCUAGGCUGGUAAAGAAAAGCUUAGUGUGCGAUGGUACUAUCUAUACUGGGAGCUUCCCCUACUAUAGACUUUCAAAAAUUGUUUAACUGAUACCAGUACUUCUAUAGAUCCAUGCCAAGAUUUGAAUACUCUAACCAUGCAUUGGGAAGCAUAUCUAAGCUAUUGGGUUCAAGCGUAUAACUUCUUCUUUUGAUUUUGUGUGGACCUUGUACGUUCUCGUGGCCAAAUGUACAACAUGAUGCCAUAUCAGCACAUGGCACAAAGCAAGACCCUUUGCAUAGGAAUCUUAGCUAUUUUACGAAGCACCUGUCCGUAUUUUGUUGUAAAGAUAAGAAUUCUUGAAGUACAAAGAAGGAGAAAAUCACUCCGUGAGAGAAGGGAGAGAAACUCCGUUUUUUAACCUGUGAGAGGAGAAACUUACUAAUAUUUUUUGAGGGGUAUAAAGCCAAGUUUAAUUGAUCAAACGCCGCAGAGCGUGGAAUACUUCUCUGAUCAUGGGGUUGAUCUUGCUACACAUGGCGCCCCCAACCCAACGAAUGCGAAAGUUUGGCUAGACUAUGUGCUUUAUUGUUCAAAUCACGACCUUCGAAUAUAAUUUACAAUUAAAAAUUGAUGCUCGCAGUGGUAUCUCACUCAAAAUGGGACCGUAACGUCCUUAAUUUCACUUGCUGAUAUCUCUCCCACCACUUGCUUUGAAUCACAAGCAACAAUGAGUCGUGGAAGAAGAAGAAAAUAUUCCGCUAUGAAUAAGGCCUCCCUACAAUUGACCGCCUUGAGUUUUUUUUGAGACAAACUGCAAAGCUUUAUUACGUCGUCACAAUGUUUACAGGGACGAAAACAAGAUCGUUGGGCUGGUCUAACCAAACAUGGCGGCCAACCCCGAGGGAUAAAGCGUGCUUUGCUAGUUUGUGAGCCUCGAUAUUCGAGCUCCUAAAUUCAUGAAGUAUAUUACAAGCCUCAAAUUCAGACCUAUGUUGUAUGAUUUCAUGUGCAAUUGCCCCGUAGCUUCCUUUGUUGUGCUGUUGAAUGUCGUCGACUGCCACUUUACAAUCCGAAGCAACAUGUACCCUCCUGACAUAUAUGUCAUCUGCCAAUGCCAAAGCCUCCCUGAUUGCGAGCAUCUCCAAGGUUCCGGGGUCUGAGAGAUGGGAGAAAACCACCGCCGAAGCUCCCAAGAAGGCUCCGUCUUGGCCUCUACAGAUUGCUCCCGCUGCACCCCGCGCCCGGCCUACUGCAGCAUCUACAUUGAUUUUGACCAACCCCAAUGGCGGUGCAAUCCAGUUAUUAAUUCGAGGCUGUGGCACCCUAACCCCAGCGACAUUCGGCUUCUGGAUAGCCUUGAGAUCUGCUAUGUAAGAAUUUAUAAACCCAUUGAUGGCAUAAGGUGUCUGAAAGAUAUCCUCGUGUAUUGCCUUCCUUCGGGCGCCCUAUAGUGCCCAUAGGGUGACGACGAAGACUAGGAAAUCAUCUUGGUUGAGCGCUUCGUGCAUGACGAACAACCAUCUUUUUGCGUUUUCCUCAAUGCAUGUGCUCAUCUUGUCAAGGAUCGCCUCUGAAGACAGCGCCCAGGUGCUCCUGGAGACCGAGCAAUCCACAAGGGCAUGGCGCCAGGUGUCAACAGCCCCACACAGACAGCAAGCUCGUGAGGAUGACAUAUUUCGAUGGUUGAGUAGCGCUGCUGUGGGGACAGAAUGCUUGGCGAGUCUCCAUAAGAAGAAUUUCAGCUUUGAGGGAACCUUGAUCCGCCACAGUUCGGUCCAACCCUGGUUAGCACCAAUGGAGCCGGAAGAGGAUCCAUCUUCAUACAACCAUGCCUCGCGACUUAGCUUCGUUCGCUGGAUCAUCCGGUAUGCCGAUCGUACGGUAAACAUGCCCUUCCUCUCCUCGGAACAAGCCCAAAAAUCGUCAGUCUGGCGUGUACAAAGGGGUAUUUGCAAUAUUGCUGCUGCUUCGAUUGGUAUAAACACCGUCCGGACUAGAUCCUCCUUCCAGGAUGAUGAAGUAUGGUCUAUCAACUCAGCCACUGUAGUUGGUGGAUUCUGCACUAGAGAGGUGACCGGCUUCUUCAUGUUUGGCCUCGGCAACCAAUUAUCCUCCCAUAUAUUUGUCGAUUCACCGUCUCCGAUUCUACGCACCAGCCCCUGAACCAUGAUAUCCCGACCGUCCAAAAUAGCCCGCCAAAUCUGCGAGGGAUGAGACCCUAGUGUUGCGCCAAAUAUGUCCGAGUUAGGGUAAUAUACUGCUUUCAGGAUCCUCGCACUCAGAGACAGUGGGUUUUGCAACAUGCGCCAGGACUGCCGUGCUAGGAGGGCCAAGUUAAACAUCUCCAUAUCCCGAAAGCCAAGACCUCCAAGAUGCUUUGGCAGGGUCACCACGUCCCACGCCACCCAACUCGGUUUUCGUUUCCCAUGCUUGCUUCCCCACCAGAAUUGUCUGAUCAGCGAAGUAAUGCUUUCACAUAGACCCCGUGGCAGCCGGAAACAUGCCAUCGAAUAUACUGGAAUUGCUUGAGCCACCGCUUUAAUCAGUACCUCUUUCCCUGCUGAAGAUAAUAGCUUUUCCAUCCAUCCCUUAACCUUUUCCCAGACUCGGUCCCUCAAAUAUUUGAAGGUCCCGUUCUUCGAGUGACCGACCUCCGUUGGCAUUCCCAGAUACCUGUCACUGAGGGACUCGUUGUGCACAUUCAGAACAUUUUUCAUAUCAUCUCUUACCACUUGUGGGCAUCCUCUGCUGAAGAAAAUCGAAGACUUAUCAUGAUUUAUCCUCUGACCCGAAGCCAAGCAGUACGUUUCAAGUAGGUUUGAUACCGCUACUGCCCCCUCAUUCCCUGACUUAAAAAGCAGCAGGUUGUCAUCUGCGAAAAGAAGAUGGUUAACGGUCGGGGCCGUGGGUGCCACCUUUAGUCCAACAAUAUUUGAUGACGGAGAACUGGUUUUCAGGAGGCACGAAAGGCCCUCCGCUACAAUUAAGAAGAGAUAGGGGGAUAUCGGAUCUCCCUGCCUUAUACCUCUCCUCGGCAUAAACUGAUCAAGCCUUUCACCAAUUAAAAGCACUGAGAANNNNNNNNNNNNNNNNNNNNNNNNNNNNNNNNNNNNNNNNNNNNNNNNNNNNNNNNNNNNNNNNNNNNNNNNNNNNNNNNNNNNNNNNNNNNNNNNNNNNNNNNNNNNNNNNNNNNNNNNNNNNNNNNNNNNNNNNNNNNNNNNNNNNNNNNNNNNNNNNNNNNNNNNNNNNNNCAAAACCGAGUUUUCCCAUGAUUGCUUCCAAAUAGUCCCAUUCCAGCCUGUCAUAUGCUUUCAUCAUAUCAAGCUUAAGUGCACAAUAACUGUUAGCCGUAGCUUUGCUCCGCUUCAUAAAAUGAAGACAUUCAUAUGCACUGAUAAUGUUAUCCGUUAUGAGUCUGCCCGGUACGAAGGCCGAUUGCUCCUCAGAUAUGAUAUCCGGUAGAAUUUGCUUGAGCCUGUUUGCAAUGACUUUGGAGGCAAUUUUGUAUAGUACAUUACACAGGCUAAUAGGCCUAAAUUGGGACAAAACAGUGGGGUUUGUUACCUUGGGAAUCAGAACAAGGAUGGUGUCAUAUGCACUCCGAGCUCUCCUCCCCCCUCACAAUUCUCAACACUGCCUCAGUCACCUCUGUACCACAAAGCUCCCAGUGUCGCUGAUAAAAAUGUGCCGGAAAACCAUCCGGUCCGGGCGCCUUGGUCGGGAACAUCUGAAACAAGGCUGCCUUGACCUCCUCGUUUGCGUAUGGUGCACACAACAACUCAUUCGUCUCCGAUGUUACUUUCAUUGGGCCGCUGUCUAGGACAGUCUCCAUGUUGCUUACACCAUGAAUCACCAAGGCCGAGCUCCCAAUUCGAAGAGGUAAACCCUAUGGGGUGAAAAAAUGGGUCCAAUUAGAGCCCAGUGCUGAACCGAACGACAAGAACCGAAAAUGGCAGCCCAUUCUCACCGGCCCCUAUUUCUUUCCUUCCCCACACACCACACAAAAAUACCUCCGCCGCCGCCGCCGUCACUGCCGCCAGCGGCCGCAGCCGCGAUGCUCCGCCUCCGAGAGCGCAUCGUUUCCCAUCUCCUCUCUUUCUCCUCCACCUCUGGCCCGGCCAUCUCCCCUCUCCACCGGCUCCUCUCCGCAUCGGCAGCCGCCGGCCCCAUUUCCCCGAACCCCAGUGGAUUCGCCGUCGAGGACUACCUCGUCGACACCUGCGGCCUCACCCGCCCCCAAGCCAUCAAGGCCUCCAUGAAGCUCUCCCACCUCAAGACCCCCGCCAAACCCAACGCCGUCCUCGCCUUCCUCUCCGGCCUCGGCCUCUCCGGCGCCGACGUCGCCCCGGUUGUCGCCAAGGACCCGCAGCUCCUAUGCGCCAAAGUGGACAAAACCCUGGCUCCGGUGGUCGAUGGGCUCACCGGCCUCGGCCUGUCGCGUUCCGACAUCGCCCGCCUCGUCUUCCUCACCCCCGGCGGCUUCCGCCGUAGAGCCAUAGUCUCCAGGCUGCAGUACUACCUGCCCCUCUUCGGCUCAUUCGACAACUUACUCCGGCUGCUCAAGUGCGACUCCAACCUUCUCUCAAUCGACCUUGACAAGGUGGUCAAACCCAAUGUCGCGUUCCUGAGGGAGUGCGGGCUAGGUGAUUGUGAUAUUGCCAAGCUGUGUAUCCGUGUGCCGAGGUUGCUCACCACCAACCCGGAGCGCGUCGGGGCGAUGGUCGCAUGUGCUGAAACAUUAGGUGUGCCCCGUGGCUCUGGGAUGCUCAGGAAAGCGCUGCAGGCUGUCGCGUUUCUCAGCGAGGAGAAGAUUGCCGCCAAAGUGGACUACUUGAAGAAUACGUUCAGGUGGUCUGAUGCCGAAGCUUGCGUUGCUGUGCGCAAGUAUCCGAGUGUGUUGAGGAAGUCAAAGGAAUCUCUGAAGCGCAGGUCUGAGUUCCUGGUCUCUGAGGUGGGACUGGAACCCGUGUCCAUUGCUCAUCAACCGGUAGUUCUCAGUCUUAGCUUGGAGGGCCGGCUCAGACCCCGGUACUAUGUUAUAAAGUUUCUCAAGGAAAAUGGACUGCUACAUCGUGACCCGAGCUUCUUUACUGCGGUCAAGAUCACUGAGAAGGUAUUUGUGGAGAAACUCAUAUCCCCUCACAAGGAAGCUGCACCACACCUCGCUGAAGACUAUGCAACAGCUUGCAAAGGGGAAGCGCCAACUAAUUUCAUAUUUAGAUGGACCAGGAACAGGCUAUGAAAAUCCGUAACCUGUGUAUGGCGCAAGAAAGUUUUCACUCUGUGUAGUAAGUUGGUAACUCCUGCCUUGGUGUUUAGGCCUAACUGGAUGUUCACUAUCUUUUCUAGUGUGUUUGCUACUUGCCAGUUUGCUCAUUGCUAACUCUUGAUGUAACUAGUGAUAAAUUGAUUUCUGAACCCUGAUAGGCUGUUGUUGUCAUUCCUUAGAGAAGAUCCUUCAAAAUAUCAGUCUGGUCUGCUUUUAUGGCAAUUUUUAUCUAGCAUGUUCCCUUUUGAUUUCAUUGUAUUUUCAGUUGCAUCAUAUUUUAGUUAGUACUAAGUUUGCGGUUCAAUGUUCAGUAUUUGGAUUAUUCUUACAAAUAUUAUGACAGUUAGUACUAAAGUUUGUAGUUCAAUGUUAAGUAUUUACAUUAUGCUUAGAUAUAUAUUUCUAAUUGAUGUCGGUUCUUUUUUAAUCUUUUGUUUUCUUCCUCCUUAUUCAUUCCUAAAUACCAUAGUUGACCUUUCUUUAGUUUGGAAAUUUUCAAAUUUCUACAUAUGAAUCAGUCUUAACAUUUGCAUCCCUCAUUAAUCAUCAGAGUAAACCAAUUGAGGUGCCAUGUAUAACAAGCAAGUCCAAUGAAGUUUGAACUAACACUUGUUCUUGUGGACAUAUGAAGAAGAAAGGCUAUGAGAUUUUCCCACUACAACCUACUGCUUGCACUGAGGGCAAACGUUUUUUCUUCAUAUCUGUCUACAAUUCAGUGAAAUCGUAGAUUUAAGAAUAUAGUUUGCAACAAAAUUCAUCCCAGUUUUCUGCCUUGAAACGACACCGAGACCUUCAAUCUGUUGUCCAUCUUAACAUAAAAAGUUGCGAAUUGUUUUGUUUAGCAAGGACUAAGAUUUCAGAGUUGCUCGACUAGUACUUGUCUUGCAACCAAAUUAGUGUCGCUACAUGUCCACGAGUCAGUGCCCUGGGCACUUGUAAUCCUUCGUGUUUAGUGAUGUAUGUAUCUGUUCUGAUUGUGUUUAAUAGCAGGGAUAACUAACCGUGGUACUGUUACCAUGGCACUAUAUACAAAUAUUUUUCCUGUUGAAACACAUGAAAGAUCUCAACCAUAUCGAUCUGAAAAAGAAGAUAAAUGAGAAAUAGUAUAUAUUCAGUAAAUACAAAAUAUCAAUUCAUGAAGUACUAAAGAUUAUACCUGCCCCUGGGUGAUGAAGUGCACAUCAGCCAUCGGUUGUAGUGCGCCUCUGUUCUGUUGCUUCUGCAGAGUGUCAGCAGAUCUGGGCUGCUGUUGCUAUUUUGUUCUGCUCAGUGACUUGGAAUGAGUUUAGUUAACCUGCUUUUCCUGAACUUCAUGACCAAAACAGAGAAGAACUUAAGGGACGCAAGAGGGGGAAAAACGAAACACUUAGGCAAGCUGUACAUGCUUGUGUUGAUCAGUGCUUUAUAUUUACGUGGAGACGAAUGCGUUGGAUAUUUUGUUCAAAUAGGAGGGAUAUAUCUAAGCAUAUCGCCACUAGGGAAAGGCCACUCUACUGUUCAGGUUGAUAAACUUUCCGUAAACGGGGUUUACUUGAUCAAAAUUGGAGGUUAAGAUAGCUUGUUAUUUUUCACUGGGAUUAGACUUAUGUUUUACUCAGAAAUUCUGGGUAACUAUCUCUGAAAUAAAAGAAAAAUGAACCUAAUUAGUCUGAUGUAAAGUUUCUGCUGGACAUAUUGACAGAACUUAUUCACCUGCACCUGUUCUAUUUCUGACGAGUAUCUCCAGACUAUUUAACCCUCGCAACCACAAAUGCCAAUUUUUCAAGACUCCUCACAGGAAGAAAAAGAGAGGUAUAGCAAAUCAGGAAUGUUUAUGCAUGGAAGGUCACUUGAUGCAGAUAGAGAGCAUUCCUUACUCUAUUUACACAUAUCUUAUAUUCCUUCUGCUUGGUCAGCAUAUAUGGUUUGUGGGGCCAGUUCUGUCUGGUCAAGCAUGUUAAUGUAUCAGGGGAAGAGUGCAUUCUGAGAUCAGUUGACAUGUUAAUGUGGAAUAAAAGAAAAUGUCACUAAGCUUCUCAACAUGGGCAUGCUCGACAGCCAGGUAGUUAUAUAAAAUAUUCUUAUCUAUAUUUACUGAAGUUUAUGUAUGUAUGUCCAGUUUAUCCAUUAAUUUACAUCCUUGGUCCUCAUGGUGCUGCCACUGAAGUAGAUCAUAAUGCAUUUUACUGAAGUGGGAGUAAUGCCAGUUCUCCACUCAGCGUAAUGUCCCUCUGAUAUAUAUGAAUCUACUUUUCAUUGUUGCAACUGAUGUACUGCCACACAAGGACAAAUACUUUAGUUGUGUACUAUAGGAAAAACAUGAUUCUUCCAUCCUGCGGCUGGGUGGUUGUAUUCAUAGAACCGCAAAUAUUUUCUUAUGAUUGCCUUGAAUAGUAAUAGUAUACUUCAGUUCCACGCGCCUAAGAAUAAUUAAGUUGACCAAACUGGUUCUUUUGUAAGUUUGUAACCCAGGUAACUAAUUCUGGAACAGAGGAGAUUAGUACUUCAGUAUGAGAUAGUUACCACAUUUAAUGGAAGAUGAAAGAAAAAACAGAUAAUAGCUCAGUUUUUUGUUUUGUUCCACUAAUGUGCUGUGAUAUUAUGUAAGGUCUCGCCAGAUCAAUACUCUUUGCCGUCUGAUUAAGAUUCAACUGGUGGAGCUGUCGAACCCAUGCCUCUGCACACACCUGCUGGACAAUUUUCCAGGUAUACACACAGUCUCAGUGUGCCAAUAUGUUUCUUAUGCCCUGCACCUCCCAGUAGUAUUUUCAUUACCGACUUUAUGUUAUCAAACAGUGCCAACAAUAGCCAGGGAUCAACCCUCGUCUGUAAGGCCCUGUUUCACAUUCUAGACUCACAAGAGCACUUCACUGGUAUUCUUAUAUUUAUGGCCUAUAUCACACAGAGAUCUGCCUUAUACACUGUAUUAUAAAACUAUAUUAUUCCAGAUGCGACUGCCUUCUCUUUCUGUGUAACACUCUGCAAUUAUUUUUGUGUUUCUCUGCUGAGAUCUGCUUCUGUAUGCAGUGCGUUCCCUCAUCACAGUUACCCAGCGUACAGUCUAUUCGGGUGAUUAUCGAAAUCCAAAGAUAUGAUUUAAAACUUAGCAUUUUGUUUUGCUAUAUGAUACUGCUAUCCAAUAAAUAGUAGACACUAAGUUCUGUAUACAGCAAGUAGUCUUUGGAGAAAACAAGGGGUCCAUGAGUUGAAAUCUUUGUGCUUUCGUUGCAGACCUGUCCAUUCUAUCUGGUUGCUGUGAGGUGAGCCCUUUCAGAAACCAGCAUUGUGCUGUGCCACAGCAGUUUAUGUUUACAGAGUUUCUAAGUUGCAUGUACAAUGAUUUCAAUUAGCAUCCACAUCCAGGUCUGACAUAUAAAUUCAUUUCUUUUUAUAUACUGCUCACACAACAGGAGACCUAUGGUCUGGUGUCAUCAGCACAUGUCUUACAGUUAGUUCUGCUUAUUUUUAUUCUGUUGCUGCUAAUAGCGUAUCUUUGGCUCCUAUUUACAUAUACUUUUGCAAGGCUGAUUACGAAUUCCGACCAUUAUUAUGUUAUAUAAUAUAUGGGAAAAAUGGAAAAUACGAAAAUAUGUGGCAAGACAAAUUUAAUGGGCGAUUGCAGGUCAUAGCAAAAGGAGAACCUAGGCGAUCAAAACCGAAGGAGAAAUAAGAGUUGGGAAUGAGAGGAAAUUACAGCUCAGGAGGGGAGGCGACAGGCAACCCAAGCUCAUAGAAAUAGAGAUAGUGGUGGAUCUUGACGGACUCCAGGACUCUCUCCCUGCUGUCGUCAGCGGUGUGAUAUGCCUCCAUGAACUCCCAGUACUUGGCCAGAUUUUUUGCCUCGUCCACCGUCUCCGGUUUCAGGCCUAUGCGGCACUCCAUCUUGGGCAUGACGAGGGUUGCCGCCAACAACCUGACUGCUAUGCAGUUGGUGACCACAUGGUGCUCGACCCUUGCCAGCACCACACUGCUAUUGGCGAUCAUAUCUCAAUGACUCCGUCUGGUGACCGGUGCCCAAGUUAAUGACAAACGCAUCGGGUUCUGUGGGAUGAGGAGCCACCUUCCGUGUGAUAUAGCUGAAUGGUUGGACGAAUUAUAUGGCCGAACUAAUCGGGUUAAUGACAAAGCCGAACUCCUUGCCGGCCUGGAUGACAUGGCUGAAUGGUCUCAUCUAAUUAUAUUUUUCCAAAUCAUGGUUGGACGAAUUAUGUGUUGUCAGUUCCAGUUUUUCCCAUGUUGGGAUUUUAAGAGUGAUUUGGGAAGUAUCAGUGUCGAGUGAUGGGCCAACGGAGACAGUAUUGCACUCGUUCCAUCUUCAGAUACAUGGACAUGGGCCAACACGGUGAGAUCAUGCUCUCCUUCCACUAAGACAUACUCUUUGAUUGUUUUUCUCUCCUUUUACGUGCUGGAUUUUAGUAAGAAAUCCAGAUAUUGUAAUGCGAAUUAGUUUCCUUCUUUUGAUCAUUGAUUGAUUUCGUUGCGAACUGCACUUAGCUUCUCUUUCUCUCAUUGCUUCAUGUCAUUAGUUACUUUCACGCCUUGCAGCUAGCUGUUCCUAGCUGCAGAAUUGCAGAGUUGUAUCCAAUUAUCUGCAAACUACUGGAAGCAAUAUCAUGUGGCAAAAUUUAUUCUUUCAUGGUUUCAUUUUGCAUCUGUUUUAUGUGGUUCUGUCUUCUGCCUGCCAUCUUCCUUGCAAUUCUCACUGUUGUCUUGUUCCUUGCAAUUGUUAGCUAACCCAUGAACUUUGUCAUCACCCUGCAGAAGCUGCUCAAGUCGAACUACCAACCGUUGGCUCUGACCAGAGUCCAGACUUACUGUGUGGAUGGUCUAAGAUAACUAGAAGUGGAUCCUUCUGAUAUUUUCUUGACCCAGUGAUGCCUGACCAUCCGCGAGCUGCUCUGAACUGCUGAAGAAGGGGCCUUAGUUCCCCAUCUGUAAGCUGAUUUCGGAUGUCCUGUCACACCUAGUUUGUAUUUGACCAUCUGUAAGCUGAUUUCGGAUGUUCCGUCGGCUCUCUACUUUUCUUGUUUAACUUAAACAAUGCCAUAUCUUCAAUAAUUGAUUACUUUGGUGAUUCGACGGCUCAAGCGCAUCGUUCCUAGUUGUCAAAACGAUGGUCUAUGGCAUUACCUAUUAUUUUCACUAUGUAUAUCAAAUAGUAGAAUCUUCACUACACUAAUAAUUCUAUCAUUAUACAACAAAAAAUUCGUACAACCUAUUUUUUUUCUCACAUUAAACAAUAGUCUAUUAUUGGGUCUCGGCGUUGGAGCCGCCCAGGGGUUCGAAAGGCCGAUCCUUUCUGCUCGUCUCUUUGGUUGGGUAGCGGCUUGUCUCAGGUGAGGUGGUGUCUAGGUUUUGGAUGCCGGGGCGGCGGCCCUGGUGGUGGCACGGUGCUCAUGGGCAGAGCCCAUGGCGCGGUGCUGCCCGGUGGUCAUGGCCGCGUGGGUGGCAUGGUCGCUAGGGUGUGGCGUUCGGUGGCAGUGAGUACUGGCGAGGGUGAAAACCUGAUCUAUCUUCGGACGGACAGGCGGCGGCGAAACUCGUUCCCUUCUUGAAGGCGUCGUCGCGGCUCUCAUUGCCCGCGUGUUGCUUCAGGGGAAACUCUGAUCUUUGGGUGUGUGCGUGUGUUCCGGUUGCUCUUGUAGUGCUAGGGGUGGUGUUGCUGUGCUCAGCACCAAUGUAUUCUGCCUUGGGUGUGUAUGUGUGUUCUGUUGGCGUGCGUUUGUAUCGAAUUGUGGAUGAUCAUUGCUUUAUAUAUAAAAAGCGGGCCGAAAGCCUUUUUCGGUAUUAUAUGGUCUGUUCUGGCGACAUGUUUUGGCAAUUGUCCGUUUUUGGUAUGGUGAAAUGUUGUUGGAACACUGUCUGUUGCGUACUUGUAUUUCCUUUUUUGAUCGGGUUGAACACUGAUUCUCAGAAUAGUCUGGCCUUGGUUGGUGAACGGUGAUUCUUCCUGUGAUCAUUUGAAACCGCACAAAUGAGAUGAUGUUCUUCACUGAUUUAUUGCUCCUUCAUUUGCCCCGAAUUAUAGCGUUGGUUUGUCGUAAGUCUGCCCUUCCAUCCUUCUUCCACAGAUUGCAGAUUUCAUCUUGAACAUGCUAACGAGAAAAUCAACGUGGCUGAAUGGGCUUAUCUAAUUAUAUUUUUCUAAAUCAUGGUAGAACAAAUUAUGUGUUGCCAGUUCCAUUUUUUCUCAUGUUAAGAUUUUCCUAGUGAUUUGGGAAGUGUGAUUUGCCGGCACUCAUUGCAUCUUCAGAUCUGUGGUCAUGGGCCAGCGCAGCUACCAAGAUAGUGCUUGAGAUCACGUUCUCCUUCCACCAAGAAGAGAAGCACCCUCAAACUUGUCUUAAUCCUUUCACUUUUUGAGAAUUACUCCUUAAUUCGACUGCUGGAUUUAAUAUUUUGUUAGCAAGAAGUUGAUAUAUUUUAACACGAUUUAGAUAUGCUUCUUCUGUUCAUUGGUUGAUAUUGUUAGUGAAAUUCUGUACUUGCUUCUCUUUCUCUCAUUGCUUCAUGUCAUUAGUUAUUUUCACGCCUUACAAUUAGCUGUUCAUAGCCGCAGAAUUGCAGAGAGUUGUAACUCGUAACCAAUCGUUUGCAAAUUACUGGAAAUGAAUAUCAUUUGGACAAUUUAUGUUUUCAUGGUUAUAUUUUGCCUCUGUUUUCUGCUUGUCAUCUUGUUUAUGGAUUCUUUGAAGUGCUUCCUUGUGUUGAUGGUCUUGUGCUUUGGUUUUCAGAUUGCCGCUGUUUGUGAUCCGGUAACAGCAGUCCUUGGCGUUGUCCCUGCUACUUUCUGUCACGUUGAUUAAGUUGAAAGUAGAGGACAAUUAACUAAACAUGUUGAAAGUACACAUACAUACAUAUCCAUCGAGAUGAGGCAUGUAGAGGACAGAUUUUAUUAGGUGGAAACAUCUCCGAACUCUAGGGAUCAUUUGUCAAAGAGUCUGCUUACCAGGAGAGAAGGAGGCCUGCUGCGUACAUUUUUUUUAAAAUGGAGGAGGACCCCGGCCUCUGCAUUUGGACGAUGCAUGUAGCCACUUUAUUAAUUAUUCACACAAGACCUUAUAAUGUCAUACAAAAGUAAGGCUAAAGCCACCGUUUAGGCAACAUGUCGCUACUCCUAUCCAGUUGAUGAAGGGAUGCUGAUAGUCUGGGCCUAAUACCAAACAGACCUUGCAGCCAAACCUAGCAUCUAAGACCCGAGGUCCCAACCAGGACGCCUGCCGGAUAUGGGGCACCCACCAGUCCGGCGCACUCCUCAACCUGGACGCCUGCCGGGUAUGAGGCCCCGCAGCCACCUGCCACCACUCCAUCUUUAGUGUUGUACUGCUGCAUGUACCUUGCCCGGUCUACCUGCCGUCGACGCCACCACGACGCCAGACAACGCCAUCAUCCUGCGCUCGUCCAUCAUCACACGCCCACCAGCGAGACCCCGCUGCUCCAUGCCACUGAGACCCGCCGGUGUCGACGUGUCAGAUACCACGCCGCUCCUCCUCUUGUCCCCUCCAGCCAACACUUGCUCCAAAACAAUGCCCCCAGGAGGGAGAACGACAUCGAAACGUCGCCAUCGUCCGAUCCAGUAGAUCCAGAUCUAGGGUUUCCCCCGGAACUUUCCGAUCAGAUUGACGUGACCUGCAAAGACGAUGCCUCGAGAAGGGAACGACGUCAGAGACGCCGCCAUCGUCCGCCAUGACCGCAGUCAGGCGCGAUUUUCACCGGAAACCACGUCGUCCCGAUCUCGCGGUUGGCUGGAACCGACCGGUGCCCGCCGCCGAACCUGUGACACCGCCACCGAUCCGGUCACGCCACCGCCGUGCGACGCCCCCGAUGGAGAUCUCGAUCGAGAUCGAAGACGACCCUGACCGAAACCCCGCCACCAGUGCCGCCGCACCGCGCCACCUCCUCCUAGCCCAGUCGCCGCCGGAUCCAGCCGUACCCACGUUCGGGAGACCAGUCGGUUGAGGCACCCCUUGUCCCCGAACAGCCGACCCGCGCCCCCGCCACGAGGACCAGAGGAAGGAGGGAGUGACAACGGGGGCAUAGAGUGCUGAUGGAGAUGCCGUGGGUGAGGAGGGAUCCACCUCACCUUGGUGGCAGCCAGGUGAUCUGACCCAUCUAAUCCAUGAAGCGCUCAUGUCUACGACCCUCUCAGCAUCACAUUGUUUUUUUCGAAACGGAUGCAAAGAUUGCCUCAUCUAUUAAUUUAGCAGAAGAGAAUUGCCCAGUUAAUUACGGAAAACCGGGCAAAAACCGAAACAACAAGGGCCAAGCCCACUCUCAUAGACUGAAACACACAGGGCAAAGCCCACCCUAAUCGAUGACAAGUUGACCUGCGGCCAGACAAUGUAGCUCCGACUCUAACGGAGAGCUCAGAAGAACAAAACCAGGCACGGCUGGCGCCACGGAAGAUCGCCGAAUGGGCCACCUGCAGCCAGUCAUCAUACACCACAGGGCCCCGCCGCAGCAGCUUCGACUCUACAACAACAAGCAAACCGAGGCAAAAUCGUGGACACGCCGGAGAAGAGCCGACUACCGCAACCAUUGCCGCGUCGCCGACAUCGCUCCCAUCAUCAUCGUUGCCACAGAAGUCUGGUCGCCACAGAGAUUCACUCGGGACCACCGCCCCGACAUCCACUGCUCCGUCGCGCCCAGCGCAAUCAACCGACAUCGCCUUCCGGGGCCGCCGCCCCGACAUAGCACCGCUCCACUCGAGCAGCAACGCCACACAACCCAGCUGCCCGCAGCCCAUGCUGCUCAGGGCAACCGCUCGCAGACCACGCACGUCGCAUCACAUCCGGGGCCGCCGCCCCAACGUAAAGUCAGACCGCCCCCUUUGGGGCGCAUCGACCGAGCUGACACCCCUACCGUCCAAGCGGGACAAGGAUACCACCCAAUCAAUGUCGAGAUAGAGCCCCACCUCAUAGAGCUGCCACUCACAUUGUUCCCGAGAUCGCCAUCUCGACGCAAAAUCAGAAACCAUCCGGAGCCGCCCCGACGACGAAGAGAUCCGUGCAAACUGCAACAUGCUGACUCUCCAAGACGAUGCCUCAAAGAAGGAAACGACGUAGAGGCUACCCGGACCCCUCUCAGCAACAAGCAUGCACAGGAGGAGUCGAGGACGAAACAUCUCCAAACUCUACGUACGGAUCAUUUCUCAAAUGGUCUUGCAGACCGAAAUAUCCAAUGGCUGAUUUACAAUACUACUCGUAAGAGAUUAGUGAUACUAACUAAAUUAAGACAACAAAGGUGGCGGGGAGAUUACUUAAGUUACAGACGAAAUGCAGAUAUGUGGGAUUCAUUGCGGGCGAUUAACUCGCUAUAAAACUGUGACAGAGGGAUGUCUUGGGUGCACCCGUGCAGCGCCCUUGAAGGCGGACUCAACAAUAUUAGCGCGUGUAUUUCUUCCACGGGUAUCGCGAAGAGUCACGUAGAUGUCCUGGAGGCAGGGUAGGCACUCCAUUCCAACUGGUGUAGCGCCUCUCCACUGACCCCAGCAGAAAUCCAUGGCGAGGCUCCCAUGUUUCCAGGUUGAGCAGCUCGAUACGGGGAGGAGGAUCAAGCAAUGACUCCAACUGGUUGCCAUGUACUUCGCAUUCAAUCUUGCAAUCGAGGGUCAGGCGCCUGAGGUCCCGAAGCAUUCCAAUGGAGGAUACCAAAGCAUCGACUUGUUCCGACACCAAGAAUUGGUCGUAAGGUGUGCAUAACUUCAAAUCCUCCACAUUUGUCAGCUUCCCAAGGCCUUUGACAUCCUCCAGCAAAGUCUUCGGCAUGCCAGUACAGUGCAGGUCACGGACUGAUUGCAUGUUCUGGAUCCCUUCAGGCAACACUGUACCAUACGGAAGUUUCAAAUGAAGCAAGCGAACUAUAUCUGAUGGAAAGCUUUGAGUUGGACAACAUGAUACAUGUAGAGUUUCCAGAUGCACAAGCCCUUGAAUUUCUGUAGGGAGCACUAAAUCUGCAAAUCUGGUAUCAAUCUUUAAAUAUCUAAGCAGAAACAAAUGGCCAAUUGCUGUAAGGUCCACUGACGUACCCCUUCGACCUGAAAACUCAAACAAAAGCACUCGGAGAUACUUAAACUGUGAAAGUGGAGUUGUGUACAUGGACUCUCCAAACCGUGCAUAUGAUCGAACUUGUGACAUGCUAGUAGCAAGGGUCUUCGAUGUUGCACUAACACUUGACUGGAGGGAUAAUCGACGAACUUUGUACUUGCAACUGUGCAAUCUUGCUAUGUCUUCAUAAUUAUAUGCCACACUUAUAAAAUUAUCUUCUGUACACUUGCUUAUGAUCAAAUCAAGCAUCAUGUCAUGUACUCUGCAGGAAAUUACCUUGCCACAAAAUGUUCUUCCGGGCUGAAUCAAGCUUCUGUUGAUAAGAUCAUUGAAAUAACUUCUUGCAACACCAUCCAAAUCUUGCCCAUGCAGAUUACAAAUAAAGCCUUCGGCUAUCCAUUGCCGAACUAGAUCAAUCGUGUAGAUCUCACGGUCUUCAGGAUACAUACCAAGGUACAAAAAAUAUGGCCUGAGAUGAACAGGAAGAUGCAUGAAGCUAAGGUUUAGUAUGCCCCUCAUCUCUUCUAAGGUGGGUUUUGUGGAAAACUUGGCACCAAGAGAAUUCUUUAUCCUUUCCCAUUUCAUUCAACAAUCUUUCCUCAUGGCUAGCUAAUAGGCUAGCUAUCGUGAUAAUUGCAAGGGGCAAUCCACCACACUUCUUGAGAAUUUCAACCAAAAUUUCUUUAAACUGUGGUGGGCAAACAUUUUGAGACCCAAAUACUCUAUUAAGAAAUAAUCUUCUUGAGUCUUGCUCUUUGAGGGGCUUCAUUUUGUAAAUGCAGGAAUGGUCAUUCUGACAUGCUCUGAGAGCCACGUCGUCCAAUCGUGUGGUUAUCAUUACUCCACUUCCAUUACAAUAAUCCGAAAAGGCACAACUAAGAAUAUUCCAUGUUGGCUGAUCCCACAAGUCAUCAACUACAAUAAAGUACCUGUUGCAAUUUUUGUACGAGUUAUUCAUACAUUAGAAUGGACUAUGGUUAUAACGUAUAGAGGAAAGCAUCACAACUAAAAUGAAGGUCACAAGGAUAAUGAAGGAUAAUGAUACAUGNNNNNNNNNNNNNNNNNNNNNNNNNNNNNNNNNNNNNNNNNNNNNNNNNNNNNNNNNNNNNNNNNNNNNNNNNNNNNNNNNNNNNNNNNNNNNNNNNNNNNNNNNNNNNNNNNNNNNNNNNNNNNNNNNNNNNNNNNNNNNNNNNNNNNNNNNNNNNNNNNNNNNNNNNNNNNNNNNNNNNNNNNNNNNNNNNNNNNNNNNNNNNNNNNNNNNNNNNNNNNNNNNNNNNNNNNNNNNNAGAAGGAAAUCUCAAGUCAACCCUAAAUUUUGUUGCCACACUAUUACUGAGAACUAUCCAUGCAAGUAUAUGAGUGAGUAAUACAAGAGAAAAUACCUCUUAUCUUUGAGGUAUUCUCGAAGCCCGUCAAUGAAGUCUUGGAGCUCGUGAGCAUGAGAGGAUUCCUCCAUCCCAAGCUUGAAUUGUAGUCCAUCGAGAAGGCUUUUCAUAUCUGGUCUUUGGGAGACUGAGACAAAUGCCUUACAGUUAAACCGUCCUCCAAUUUCAUCAUACACUUGUUUGGCAAGUGUAGUUUUACCCAAGCCUCCAAACCCCACGAUGGAAACCACUUUGAGUUUCUUGUGGGAAUCCAUCAACAAGCUGACCAGCUCUUCUCUCGGGCCAUCAAUCCCAACAAGGCUUGCUGCCUCCUUGUAGAUUGCCGUCAUUCGGGGAUCCACAAGCACAAUGUCAUGACUCGAAUUGAUGCAAUCAUCAAUCUUGUACCUCUCUCGCCGAGCAUUUGCCUCCACUGCAAGAUCCUUGAGCUCCUCGAUGCGGUUGGCGAUCUGAUGACGCCUCCCCAAUCUCUUGAGACGUUGAGCCAUCUUCCUGACAAAGCCUUUCUUUCCAUGGGCACAUUCAAUGUCAUGCAUGAAGUCAUCAAUGCAGUUAUCCAUAUCAUAGGUCAUAUCCCUGAUAUGUUCCCUCCAGUCCUUGGCAGAUGAAUCGAGCUUAUCCAUAAGCUCCAUCUUGUCAAGGAGAGCUUUCAUGGCGCUGAGCUCAUCCUUUAGGAUGAAGACCUGCUUCCUCACCCCCGUGAACUUCUUGUACUCCUCGUCGAGCAGCUUGGUGAGCUUGCCAAGGAGUGGGUUCAUCACCCCCGUCGUGGCACUCACCGCCAUUCCUCUCAGUUUGGUGAGCUAGCUACGUUUGUGUGGGGCAAGGUAAGUAAGCAAAGGCUGGUGAAGAAAGUUGUCUUGUGCAAUGGUGGUAUCUAUACUAGCAUAUCAAAACUCGGAGGGCAUGCUGCGGCCAAUCCAUUGCACUGCAGUCCAGGAUUAUACCUUAUGUUUGCCUCGAGAUCUGCAUGUGUGUUAAUUAACUCAAAACAGUAUGUACAACACUAGGAGUUAAUUACUCCUACUACACAAUGCAAAAUUUUGUUUCAUCGAUAAGAAGGCUACUUCCAAUGCAUUGGUGUUUACAUGAGGUGCUAAGUGCAUUAAAAAUAUUAGCAACUAGUCUCCCCAAUGCAUAAGUGCUUAGCUAUUGUAGCUAAGCUUCCCUCAUUGAAUUGUUUAACAAUUAAACUUCUUCAUGCAUUGGUUGUUAGUCAUUUUGCAUAGGUUCAUGCGUUUAGCAUUGUUUCCUCCUGGGGUCACCAUAGUGUCCUCUCUCCUAUUUAAUUACUUUGCCACAUCACUUUUUGCUUAUGUGGCACCCUUAACACCUGUACACGGUGGAGCAAUGGGAAGGGACUAAUGGUACUCCUAGAGAUGGACGUAGGCUGGUCAUAGUGGGUAGUAUUAUAUACUAGUAUCAUGCAUAUGAUACUACCUCCGUAAUGCAUAGUAUCAUAAACUAGUAUCUUAGGUAGUCUCAUUCAGUGGUGGAGCUACACCCUAGGCCUGGGGGGCCUGGGCCGGGUCGUGGCAAGAGUAUCCUUCGUUGACUCUAGUGGUUUUGUUACUGUUGGUCACUGUACAUCACUAUUGCAAUGAAGCAGGCCCGGGGCCCAGCACUAGCCUGGCUCCAUCCCUGGUCUCAUUUAUUGUCAUGCAUGACACAUACUAGUAGCAUAUAAUUUAUUAUGAUACAGUACCAUAAUAUGAUACUCAGUCCUCUCUUUUUUCAUUUAAUUCUACGCCACCUUAUCAAAAUUGCCUAGUUGGUAUGUAUGAUACCAGUUAUGAUACUCCCAUACGACCAGAUUAACUACUCCAACCAUGCAUUUUUAUACUUGUUGAUUGUGGGGUGGUUCAAACCGACGAUGCUUUAUGUCUGCCUCGUUCACAUUGGGCUUUCCUCGCAAGAUUCCUUUUGUUUAAUAAGAGCAGGAGAAUAUUGCUAUAUCUAUUCAUCAGUAGAAGAAAACAUGCAAAUUUUACACCCCAAAAACGCACGGCAGUUGGGCAGGGACACUUAAAAUUCCUGAUUGUACCUUUAAUUACAUGAAUAUGCUGUCUGUGAUACAGGAAAGUAGGCAGCAAGCGCCACUUGAUGCUGAUGAUCGAACAGGACAAGCCGUGCAAAAUUUUAAUUUGCUGGGAUUUGCAUACUUGUGCAAGUCUCCUCCAAUCUAUAUAUUGGAUAAUCUCAUCAUCUUAUAGUAUGGUUACUUCAUCAAUAAGACAUAAGACAACGACCAAUGAGCGCGUCAAGCAGUGCCGGCCGGCCGGUCAUUUUUCGUUUCUAUAUACGCCUAUGACAUGACAGGGGCCGGCCAACAACUACGCCUGGUCAUGUGAUUUGGAUCCAUCGAUAAUGCAGAGCUUUAGAAAAACAUUAAGCAAAGCGGGAAAAGUUAGGCUAACAAGCUUGGAUGUUGACACGCAGACGAACGCUAAUUAAUAAGCAACAUAUAUGGAGCAUAAGGGCUGCAACAAGUUAUCUCCGCAAGGCUGAUCUGCCUCGCUCUCUUGAUGCCAUUUGUUUUCUGGUGCCAUGGUCUUCGGAUGUUUGGUCUACUUAGGGCCUGUUCGGUAACCCUCCACCUCUUCAACUCCUCAAGCCAACAACCAGCUUCUCGCAAAACAUCCCGGAUCGAGUCAGCCAAAGGAGCUCAUACGACGCUAACUGCGGCAAACAGUCAGCCUGAUGCACAGGAGCGUCCCUGACUAGGCCGGCCCAAAUACAGCUUGCAAUAUGGCAGUACAAAACACGUGCUGCUAGCCACUACCUAAUGACAGAUGGUAACACGUAAUAGCGUGAACGGUUUUUAACUAUAACGCGAUAUUCACUCUACCGUCCUAUUUACUGUAGCAUACAGAUUGUUCAUUUUUUUGAACCAUUUUAAAAAAUGACAACAAAAAUUUAGAAAUUAUGAAAAAAAUUGAAAUCCUUAAAUAGUUUUUGAAUUACCGGAACAAAAUUUAGAAUUUUGCCAGAUUUUGAAAAUUUCUGAACAUCGUUUGUAAAAGGACAAAAUUUAUUUUUACAUUUUCACAUUGUUUGAAAAAUUUUGAACACAAAUUUAGAACCAUCGGGACAUUUUUUAAAUUCGAAAAAAAUGUUGAAAAUGCGAACAUUUUUUGAAAUUGCGAAACAUUUUUCUUAAGUUGUGAAUAAAAAUUUUAAAACAAGAACUUCUUUUAAAUUCCUGGACAUUUUUUGAAACAAAAAACAUUUAAUGAAAAUUGUCAACAUAUUUUGAUGACGAGAACAUUUUUUGAAUCCCUUAACAUUUUUUGAAACACGAACAUAUUAUGAAAUCAUGAUAAAUACGGAAACAUCAAUUCUUUUAUGAAAUCAUGAUUUUUUUUAAAUAAUAAUAUUUUCUGAAAUCUCUGAAUAUUUUUUAAAAUCCUGAACAAAUUUUCAAAAUGAGAACAAUUUUUGAAACACAAACAUUUUUAUUAAAGUACAAACACAUUUUGAAAGAAAGACUAUUUUUUGCAGUUCCUGAACAUUUUAUGAAACACGAACAUUUAAAAAAAUGUGAACACAAUUUUGAACACGUUAACAUUUUUUUCAAAUUCAGAAGAAAAAAUUGAAAAUUUCAAACAAAAGCAACAGAAAAAGGAAAGGAAAAAAUAGAAACGAAAAAGGAAAAGGAAAACAAAAGAAACAGUAACUAAAAAAAACAGAGAAAGUUCCUAAAACUGAUAAAAAUCAUUGGCAACCCUCUAGAAGAUUCGCAAAAUCGAAAGCUUCUACGUUCUACAAAUGUGCCGGCCCAAUCGCUCGCUCGGUCGCCUCCUCUGUGCGUUUGCUGGACAGUUUGACGCAACGUGCGUCAAAUAGGAAUUUCUGCCAGCCAACCGUUCGGGAGCACAACCUCUUUCUUUUGCCGAUUUCCUCCUGGGCUGAAAGCUCAUUUAGUUGUUUCUGGCCCAAUUGUCUAUAGUAGGCGGGCUAUUAGGUAUGGGGCUGGGAUUUGACUGGGUUUCAGCCAGCCAUACAAGCAAACUGGCUCGUUGAAGCCCAUGUCCGCAGCCAAGAGGGGAACAGAAGGACAUAACGCUCGAAUUGGUACGAGCUAACCUCACUUUGGCAAGGACUGGUAAUUUCAGGCAACUCCCGCUUCUUUGUUUUGGUGGAGCUCGGUUUACCCAUCUCCACAACUCCUCCAAAUUUUCACUACAAUAAUCGCCAGCUUCUUGUGAGGAACUCCCAGAGUUAGCCUGUUCGGCUCAACUCCGAACACGAGUUGGAGGAGUUGGGCUACCGAAAAGGCCCUUACUUAAACGCCAUGCUCUGAGCUUUCAUUUCUGCCAUUCGGAGCCCAUCACCUUUCGGUUGGAGCAUCCUUUUCUCCAGGCUUUCAUUUCUGCCAUUCAGAGCGUCCUUUCGGUUGGGCUUUCUUGUGGCUAGCCUUUCAUUUCUGCCAUUCGGAGCCCGACACCUUUUGGUCUUUCCAUGCUUUGUCUACUUAAACGCCACACUCUGGGCUUUCUUUUCUGCCAUUCUGAGCCCGUCACCUUUCCGUUGGGCCUUCGUUGUCUCUAGGCUUUCAUUUCUUCCAAUCGAGGCCGUCAACUUUCGGUUGGGCUUUCGUUGUGUCUGGGCUUUCAUUUCUGCCAUUCCGAGCCCGCCACCUUUCGGUUGGGCCUUCGUUUUUCUUUGGGCAUUCUUAGCUCGACCUCACUAGGAUGCCACAGUCGGCCGUGUUACCAGCGCCUCGCUGUUGUCACGCUCUUCCCCACAGAAAAGAUUGGUGUGACGCAAAAAACGUAUAUGUUUCGACUAAAUAUUCCAAGAAACAUCUUAGACAUGUUGCGGCCCGACACUGGAGGUCCUAUAUAUUGACACUGGGUAGACAAGCAAGAGGAUGCGUAGAGGCCGAUGGCUAGCGCGGGCGUCUUGCGGCUUGCUCAUCGAAGCCAUGUGUGUUGCCUUGCUUACUGAAGCCAUGCAUGUUGUCAAGGUACUCGAAGCCUAGGGAAAUCAUCGAAGAUGUUGAUCCUAUAAUCCUUGGCCUUCUCGACCAACCAUUCAUGGUUUUCGAUCUGGUUGGAAGGGUUUCGUAUUGUGGUUUCCAAGUUUGACUGGUUUGUCGGGUUGUGCGUCUAGACAUAUGGGCUAGGUUUGGGGCGCCUACUGGGCAUUUGGAGGAGAAAUGGCUACGCCCUUGGAGACGUCCUUAGGGCAUAUAGUUCUAGAUCAUAUUUUUUCAUCAAAAAUUUCUACGUAACAAAAGUAUUUACCAUCAUGUUUAUUGAAAGUGAUACUAUAAUAGAGUAAAUUCAAAAUUGUUAUAAAGUAUUGAACAAUUUUUUUCCAACAAAAGUUUUCUAAAAUAUAGUCCCCCCUCUAUAAAAAAACGAUCAUAUAUGUUAAUAAAGUUCACAUUUAUGACAAAUAAAACAUUUAUGCUACUUUUUUUAGUUGAAAAAAUGUCCUAUUUGUAGAUUUGUUUUCUCCCGAGAUACAUCACACGGUUCACAAAAAUGAUCAUGCAUGUCAACUAGAAGUGUCAUCUAUUUCUAUGUUUAUAUUGAUUGAAAUAUCCUAUAUGUAUUUUUUUCUUAAGAUUUAUACUACUUCAUUGUAUACAAUUUAUUUAUGUAUAUCAAAUAAAAUAUUCACUGUAUUAUAAGAAUUAUUUCAUCAUACAAAAAACAUUCCAUGUAAACCUUUUAUUCGUCUCAAGGGAAUAAAAAUCUGCUAUUGAUAACAAAUUAUCCAGUAGUGAAAAAAAUUCUGAUAUUUUAAGUAGUGCCAAAGACAUAGAUAAAAAAUUUAUACCCCCUCCGAUCCAUAUUACCUGUCGCAGUAUUAGUACAACUGUGUACUAAAGCAGCGACAAGUAAUAUGGAUCAGAGGGAGUUUAUAUUGAAUUGUCCAUGAAAUUUGCUUAAAAUGUUCAUUGUGCUUGUAAAAAUUAUCUCGUCUGCUAAAAAAGUAUUUCAUAUGAAUGAGAGAAUUAUUCCAUAAUACCCUUUUUUGUCUUCAUAUAUACUCCCUUCUUCCUCCACAUCUUCUAUCUCCACACUCGUAGCCUCCUCCCCACCAUCGGGGCCCCCAUUUCCUUGAACCCUAGUAGCUUUGUAGGUGACCGACGUUGGUCGAGACAUGGUAUUGGUUAUCAUUUUAGGACAUGCCCUUUAGCAUUGGAGUGGGUGUGUUUGAGUUGCAGUGGUGUUUGCUACUCAUCAACCUAUGCGGGAGCUUGCUUGUUUCAAUAAAGCUGAGGCACACAGUGUUCGUGCUCUCAAAAGAAAAAGAUUGGUUUUCUCCUGAGAUACAUCUCAUAGUUCACAAAAAUUAUCAUGCGUGUCAAAUAAAAAGUGUUAUCUAUUUCUAUUUUUUAGAUUAAUAGAAAUAUCCAAUAUGUAUUUUUUUUCUUAAGAUUUAUACCAUUGCAUUGUAUACAAUCUAUUUAUGUAUAUUAAAUAAAAUAUUCACUAUAAUUACAAUAAUUAUUUCAUCACACAAAAACAUUCCAUAUAUACAUUUAUUUGUCACAAACUAAUAAAAAUCUGCUAUUGAGAACAAAGUAUCUGUUAGUGAAAAAAGUAUGCAUUUUAAAGUAGUGCCAAAGACGUAGAUAAUUUUUACUUUAAUAAAUAGUAUAUAUUUCAUUGUUCAUGAAAUUUGUCUAAAAUGUUCACUGUGCGUGUAAAAAUUAUUCGUCGGAUAAUUUAUAUUCCAUAUAAAUGAGCAAAUUAUUCCAUAAAACCUGUUUUUCUUCGUCAGGUUAAUAAAAUGUCACUGCCGAGAACAAAAAAAAAACAUGAAAAAGGAAGAAUUGUAAUUCUGAAAAGGGAAUAAAAACGGAUGACAAACAAACCGAAACUAAUCUGGAUACGAACAUCUUAGGCAGGCCAGGCCUAUAUUGACACUCACUACGACGACGGGCCAGAUCAAAACUCCUCCGGUCCAUGCAGCCCAUAUUGACUGACUACUAGGUCACUCACUACGACGGACCAGAGCAAUUGCAAUCCACCGGAAAUAUCUCUGUCGCCGCCGGCGCCGGUCGCCGCCGCUGCGCCAUGCUCCGGCUCCGAGAGUGCGUCGUUUCCCGCCUCCUCUCUCCUUCCUCCACCUGUGCCGUCUCCCCUCUGCUUCGCCUCCUCUCAGCAUCCGCAUCGGCACCCCCCAUUUCCCCGAACCCUAGUAGCUUCGCCGUGGAGGAGUACCUCGUCCACACCUGCGGCCUCACCCGGCCCCAAGCCCUCAAGGCCUCCACCAAGCUCUCCCACCUCAAGUCCCCCGCCAACCCCGACGCCGUCCUCGCCUUCCUCGCCGGCCUCGGCCUCUCCGGCGCCGACGUCUCCGCGGUCGUCGCCAAGGACCCGCAACUCCUAUGCGCCAAAGUGGACAAAACCCUGGCUCCGGUGGUCGAUGGGCUCACCGACCUCGGCCUGUCGCGUUCUGACAUCGCCCGCCUUGUCUCGCUCGCCCACGCCUAUUUCCGCUGUAGAUCCAUAGUCUCCAGGCUGCAGUACUACCUGCUCCUCUUGGGCUCCUUCCACAACUUCCUCCGGCUGCUCAAGCACUCACCCCGCCUUCUGUCGUGGGACCUCGACAAGGUUGUCAAGCCCAAUGCUGUGUUUCUUAGGGAGUGCGGGCUAGGUGAUUGUCAUAUUGCCAAGCUGUGUAUCCCUGUGCCGAGGAUGCUCGCCACCAACCCGGAGCGCGUCCGGGCAAUGGUGGCAUGUGCUGAAAGAUUGGGUGUACCUCGUGGCACUGGAAUGUUCAGGCAAGCGCUACGGGCUGUCGCGUUUCUCAACGAGGAGAAGAUUGCCACCAAAGUGAACUACUUGAAGAGUACGUUCAGGUGGUCUGAUGCCGAAGUGAGCAUUGCUGUGCGCAAGUAUCCGAUUCUGCUGGAGAAGUCAAAGGAAUCUCUGAACCGCAGGUCCGAGUUCCUGUUCUCUAAGGUGGGGGUGGAACCCGUGUACAUUGCUCAUCGACCGGAAAUACUUUCUUAUAGCAUGGAGGGCCGACUCAGACCCCGGUACUAUGUUAUCAAGUUUCUCAAGCAAAAUGGACUGCUAGAUCGUGACUUGAGCUUAUAUUCUGCGGUCAAGAUGACUGAGAAGGUAUUUGUGGAGAAGCUCAUAUGCCCUCACAAGGAAGCCGCGCCACACCUCGCUGAAGACUAUGCAACAGCUUGCAAAGGGGAGAUGCCAACUAAUUUCAGAUUCACAUGAACAAAAAAGGGCUAUGGAAGUUGGUUACAGUGUAUGGCGCAACAAAGUUA